UCUGUUUUGAUUACACAUCUCUCUGAACUGAAAAGUAUGCAGGUUCUUAAUGAUUCUGGAGAUGAUGCAGAAAAGGAGAUAGUCCUUUUAUAAGUGAAAAAUAUUUAAAACAUGGGAAGAAUUACAUGCUGUGAACUAAGUGAUCUGCAUGAGAGUCUGCACAAAGAUUGGAAGACAAGCAUGAAAAUGUUGUUCAUCUGGAUCCCACAGAGUCUGCACCCAGGGGUAAGGAUACAUUUAUGGAGGGUUCUUCUAUCUUUUUUGACUAUUUGUUUUUAUAGUUGUUCUUUUCAUUCUUAAUGAUCCCAACCUUUUUUAUUAGCACUUGAAAAGUAUUUGUGACAUUUUAGGAUAUAAAAAGUAAAAAUAAAAUACUUCAAUAUCCAGAAUAUAAAAAAUAAACUCUAAGUCUAUUUUUUAAAUCACUUUUUACAACACAUUCCCAGAAAAUUAUGUGCACUGUUCAUUUCUCAUGCAAUUGUGGAAACAACCAAAUGUCCUUGAUGAAAAGAAAAAAACAGAACAUUAAACUUUGGCCCUGCUCCCUGGGAUUUGAAGACCUUAUAUAUUAGAGCUGUCAAGGAUGGAAGAAAGUUAAAUAAGAUAAAUGAAAAAGAUCAAAUAACCAUCCCUAAACCUCUUACUUGAUGUCAUCUACAGUAGGGAAUCCAUAAUUUCAUUUUUCUGUACUCUGAUAGGCCAGACAUGUCAGAUGUAUUUAUAAAUAUGCUAUGAUAGACAUAGGAUGAAUCAUUUAUUGGCCGCCUUCUUAUUCAUGACAGCUGAAAUGCUAUAUUGUUAGGUACCCCUCCCCCAGACUUUUUAUUCUCUAAUGAUGUCAUUUUGACAUUUUUUUUUUUGCUUUCCAGUACUUAUCUAUAACCCUCAUAGUCUACUAAUUACAUCUAUAAAUGAAUCACAAAUCAAAUUAUUCUUAUAUUUUAAAGAUUCUUAUUGUCUAUUUAUAUGUAUUUUUAUAGUUCAGGAGAGAAAAAUUAAUUUGUACAGGUUAACUUUUCAAAAACAGCAAUAUUUAUGUGAGGGUAAAUUAUAACAACAGAACCAUAAGGAUUUUAUUUUUGUUUAAUGCACAAUAAAGUUAAAUUAAUUAAUCAAGAGCACAGCAAUUAGCAAUGGUGUUGUGGACAAAGCUUUAUAUAUCAGAUUAUUUUCUACUUUCUACAUUCAUACAUUUUAGUUAGAGAAUUGAACCCCUGAAAGAGCUUGUAGUAUUUUUCCUACAGUACAAGAAUAAACAAGGUGAUUCUUCCUGUGUUAUCAGUUUUACAUGAUGAUAUAUUAACAUUAUUUUAUGCUAAACAAAACAUGGAUAGUUUAUGACAUAGGAUGUAUCUUCACUAUGGUUUUAAAAGAUUAAAAAUUGUGAAAUAUAACAGUGGCAUGACUUUGAAAGAUUUAAACAUCAGAACUUUGAAGUAAGUUUACAUUUGCAGCAGGGUCAUUACUGCUUAUACUCCACAGAUUAUCCCUUAUAGAUUAAGUUCUUGGUUAGGGCAACAUUUGGUAACUUAUGGAAUAUUUUGAGAAGUACUUCUCUAGUCUAUCGUACGUUCUUAUUAUGGAAAAAAAAAUGCUCCAAGUGUUUGCUUGGUGUAUGUAUGCUGACCCUAAGCCCAUUCUGUUAUCCAGGCACAUUCUAGAAAACAUACAAUGAACCUUGUCUUGUACCAUUUCAGAGUCAAGGACAAAGGUGGCAGGAAGAGCAUCUUCACAGAUGAAAAGUGGAAACUCAGUGCAGAGAGGGGUCAUAAGUGGGUAAAAAAACAUAAAAUAAUCUAUCCAAGGGGAAUAUAGUAGUAGCCCAAUGGGAAAAUAAUAGAGCACAUAGGUGACCUGAGCAUUCAUGACAUAUUCCACAUACGAAGUGGCGUUUCAGCUGAAACUUGAAGGAAUGAAGAAACAGUGGUUCUCUUUAUGUCAGGCAGAUGUUCAGAGAAGAGUUAAAGGGAAGAUGGACUGGUGGGAGGGGUGACUAUUGUGUUACCUGGGUGAAGGCAGGGGACCGAGAACAAAUUGCAUCUAUACAGGUGGUUGUGGAUGGGAAAAGCAACAUCAUUGAGGGAGAGACCAGAUUUUUAUUUUAUACAUUUUAAAAUCAGUCUCUUGUAAAUGAAGAGUUACUAAAGAAUUUUGAGAGGAAAUAUGAAUGUAAACAAUAGGAAUUGCUUACUUAGUAGGCAAUUGCCUUUUUAAUUUGAUUUCAAUAUUCCUGGAGACUUCAUUUUAAAGUAAGCCCACAGUGUAUUCAUCAUGUCCUUGGGGAGAACAAAAAAAUUCAUUCAGGAAGAAUGUAGUACAACAAGGAAGCAUAAUAAAACAUACUCCUGACUGCCUGGCCCAGAGCCAUUUCCACUAUUUGGCUUCUUAAGGCAACUUUGGUUUCUUUAUUUAAGCUCUCCAUCCUUCUCUGUGAAGCCUUGAGCUUGCAUGGCCUCAGAGCAUGUUUUUCACAUGCAUUGGAUAAGCAUGAUUGGUUUAAGCCACUGGCAAUUGGUCCUUUUAGGCUGGAGCAUAUGAUACAUUUAGUCAAAGAGAUGUCAAGAGAUGGAUAGUUGCUGGUAGUAGGCAGUUGGGUGUUAUUCUUAUAAAAAGUCUUCUUAAUUUUAAAAGGCAAAAAAAGAAAGCAAAGUCCCUUUUCUAUCUAAUGAAAAAGUGGUAUCUGGAUGUAAAAUUGAAACCAUGGCAGGCAUCUCUCAAUACUGAGAAAAGGUUGACAAGGACAAACCUAUGUUAGGAGACAGGGAACAGAGAUGGACAGGUCUUCUGCGGCACCAUUGAGUCAUCCAUGAAAUUCUGUUUGUAUGCUAAUAAACUUAAGAGUCUAAGCAAGUUACUUCCCUGUUCCUUUUGAUCAAGAGUAUACCCAGUAAUAAAAUUAGAAUAAAUUUAAAGCUUGAGAAGUUUCAAAAUUCACAGUGCACAUCCUUUUUCUUACAUGUUUGAAAUGGAGGACCUGAGAAAAUAAAUGAUUUGUGUGAGGACAUACAAUCAAGUACAAGCAAAAUCAGGGUUCCUAAGUUCCACAAAUAUUCUGCCUACCCAUCUUUUAUAAAUUUUAGUCUUUUAAAGAGAGCCUUAUCUUUUUUGAAUAAAACCAUCCUCUGAAGUUUGUGGCAUGUGCUAAAUAAAUGUUCAGUAAACAUGAUUUUCUGACUGAGAAUAUGAGCCCUUAUUUUCAGAUUUGCCCAACUAGUAGGGAGUUUUGACAUUAAACAUCCAACCACAAAGAAAGAGGAAAUACGUGAGACUUAAAGCCCAGUGAGGUAUCCCUCCAUAGAUGUACAGGUUUGACUACAUGCUUUGCUCUGUGUCACAUACAUAUGUCCCAUACCAUUAUCACAUGCCAUGUCCAUGAUCUAUUAACUAUGAUUUCCUGUAAAAUUGUUGUUCACUUCUCCUUUUCCCAUAUGGGUAGCUAUAUGACACAUAUGCUAUAUAUCUCAUAGAGAACUUCAUAGGUGAUGACCUUUUAGUAGCCAGAGGAUGACAUUAGAUCCUGUAAGCUCUCCAGAACUACAAAUUCUCUACAGGACUGGUGAAUUAACUGUUCCCAACACUUGCUCAAUGCCUACAUCAUACAGAUGCCCAGUGCAUUUUGCUGAACUAAAGAACAGAUGGACAGUAGAAAAUGGAUAUCUGUGACAGAGAUUGGUCAAAAAAAGAGAGAAAAAGGCCAAGAUAUUAGUUAAAGUUAAUUAAGAAAAAGACCAAUUUUCUAAUUUUAUCAGGUAAUGGACAUGACGCCAAAUUUGAAGUAAUUUUUUUCUUUAAUAUUUACUCUGGCUCUGUAUUCAUCUUCAUAAAACAAAAUUAAUAAUAAUAAUAAUGCUAAACCAUUUAUACCUAUCUAUGUUAACUCUAGUGAUGAGAGUUAAUGUCCUAGUGACGUUCAAAAUAUAUUAACAUAAUGAAAUGGAAACAUUAAUUAAAUUUCUACAAGUCAGAAGGGAGAAAAAGAUAGUUGAAGGAAGAAACUGGAUUACUAAAAAAAAAAAGAAAUACAUUUCAGUUUCAAAUUCCAAAAAGGCAUUCACCAAAGAUUGGUAUCAAGUGAUAACAGUGGCAGUUUAUUAAUAAUCUGUCAUGUAAAGCUGACAUAGUAGAAGCCAAAUUCUGCUCAGCUUUACAAUGAAAUCCCAUCUAUUUUGUUGCUACCAGAAUUAAAUAUAUACUGUUGAAAGGCUUUAGUAAGCUUAAAUAUGCUCUAAAAACUCUUUUAGAAAUACAUUUUAUUGCUUUUCCUAACACCUCACUAUCAAUAAGUCAAAUCAACAAAAGUCUAAUCUUGAUUCUUCUAGAUAUCCAUGGUAUAUCAAACAGGGAGUAAGAUAACAUACGUAUUUUUUACAAGUUGAUAAGUUUGCUUUUAGACAAAUGGAAAGGCCUUAGCAACUAAAUUACUUGUUUCUGACAUGUUAGGAACAGAGGGAAAGCUAGAUAUAGUGUGGAAAUAAUAUAAAGUAAGUAUUAAAAGUUAAGCCUAGGGGAUUCACAGGGGGAUAAUUUAUUUAAUCAGAAUUAUGUGUGAGCUAGCCAGAUAGGGACAAUCUAUCCAAAGGUGUGAAGAGCUGAUAAUCCAUAUGUAUCCUGAGCAAAAGAUUUAGGUGAGGCAUGUUAUAGCAAGCAAACAUCAUUGAAACAGUAUUUCAGAAAUACCAAUUAAAAGUGACCAUCACAAGUAGAAUUUGGGCUAGGGAUGUAUAGCUCAGUGGUAGAGUCUUACCUAGAAUGCAUGAGGCUCUGGGUUGGAUCCCCAGUAAUGUUAAAAAUAUAACACAAAGAAAGAGUAAGAAUGAAGUGAUGUUUCUCCUCUCUAUAUAUUGGAAAACUUGUAUUAUGUCAUUUACAAUCACUUAAUAUAUACAGACCUGUGCUAACCUCUGCUUCCAAAAGCAUGCUGACCCUCUGAAAGUAGGAUUGUAUAAGAUAAAAGGUUUAUUCAACAGCUGGUAAAAAGAUUUAAAAGAGUUUUCUGUAGAAGCAAAGAACUGAGUGAAAUCCAGGGAUUUUGAUUACUUGUACAGUAAUUAGCAAAAUGUGUAACACAUUGUGCUAUGAAUGUGUUUGGUUAGAGUGCUAGUUUUCACUCAUUGAAUAGUUAAAAGUAUACAGACAAUUUAAUCCCAGGCCAUAAUAUCAAAUUCAUUUUUUCUUAUUCUAUGAGUAAUGUCUUAAAUCAAACUCAGAAUUUUAAAAAUAAAUUUCAUAGUUAAUAUCUUAAAGCUCUGGAAAAAUAUCACAGUAGAAUCCUUUUCAUCUAAAAUGAUAGUCACCAGGUAGCAAAAUUUCAAUACCUACUAGCAAGCAAGAGUGCAUAAGAAGAGGGAGGGGAAAAAAUGGAAUCCAGGAGGUAAGCACGUUAUACAAGAUAAAAAUUUGCUACAAAUAUUAGAGAUGGAAGAGUGUGUGUGUUUGUGUGUGUUGUAUGUGUGUUUUGCUCAUUCCCUAGUAGAACAUUAUGUUAAAAAAUAUUUAAGAAUUCAUUAUCUUUCUAAUAAGAAUUUUUAGAAAUUCAGAAGAUUAAAAGAAAAUUAGUCACAGUAAGCCUCAGUUUUCCUACAUCUCAAUGCAGAUAUUAGGAACGAACAUUUCUAAAGUUUCAUAGUUUAAGGAUAGAAAAUUUUAAAUGAAUUUCAAUAAACCUAAUUUGACUUAUAAUAACUGGUUAAGUUGUUAAACUUCACUCAUCAUGUUAAGUUUAGCCAAAAUAAGAAUGGCUUUGCUAUGUGGAUGUACCCCAACUUAGAAUGGUUUGACACAUGAUCUUUUGACUUUAUGAUAUUGCAAAAGUGAUGCACAUUCAGGAAUUUUCACUUUUUGGGUACCAGGGUUUGAACACAGGGGUACUCCACCAUUGAGCCACAUUCCCAGCUUUUUUUUUUUUUUUUUUUUGCAUUUUAUUUAGGGCCAGGGUCUCACUGAAUUGCUUAGUGCCUUACUGUUGCCAAGGUUGGCUUUGAAUUCAUGAUUCACCUGCCUCAGCCUCCCAAGCUGCUGGGAUUACAGGUGUGAGCCACCCUGCCCAGCUGGAAUUUCAACUUUCAUCUUUUCCCUAACACACACAGUUAUAUUCUCUUGAUACUGGCACAGCAUCAUGCCACGAAGGUGUGGUGGUGGCUGGAUUUGGUGCAGUAAAACCAUUUUCAACUUGUGAUAUUUUCAAUUUAUGGUGGGUUUGUUGGAACAAUACCCCAUCUUAAGUCCAAGAACAUCUGUAAACUGCUGCAAAGGUCAAGAAGAGUGCAUUCCUAAAGUGGAUUUACAGGUAACAUGCUCUCAUGAAAUGUCAAAGAGAAAGUAUACAAUUUUGGAUUUAGGAAAGCCUUCUGGGAGCAAAACUAACAUAAUGAAGACUGUAAACUAAUCUCUGGCCAUUAGUUUCCAGGUGCAAACAAGAUUUGUUUUCUGUGUGUGUACAUCAGGUGUGCUUCUUUUUCUUUCUUAGACCCUUAACUAUGACUGGCUCUUUGCUAUCAGGGAGGUAAUUAAAGCAAAAACCUUUUAGGCUUCUUCUGAGUUGUUGCUAAAAUUAUCCUUUCCUUUCUGUCUCAUUCAUCCCACCAAUCGAUCCUGGUAUAAGUGAACAUAUCAUGGGCUUGGGGGUCUAACAUGUUGGUAAUGCAUAGAGACACCUCAUUGUCUUUGAGUUUUAGUCUAUGGUCAGGGGGAAAUGAUAUCUCUCACAGGAAGUUUGUGAAGACUAAGUUGUGAUUACCUUUAGCUAAGUAUUUCAAAUACUAGAAUUCAUCACAUUUUCUGUUAUUAUUACCCCUUCUACAUAUCACAUUUUCCCCUCAUUUUCUACCAGAGAAUUUUCUUAUUAUAUAAAAAUAUGCUCUGUUCUACAUUCCUUUCAAAAAUAGUAUACCAUAAGGCAUUCUAACAAUGUAUAUGGAAUCACCUUGGAAUGGAUUAAAAAGUCAGUUCCUGUGCCUCACUAUAGAUCUGGGGAACCAGACACUCUGGAUGGCAGAAGUAGCUCAAGAUCUGUUCUAUGCAUCCUCCUCUGGAGAAGGCAUUGUGCACACAUUUGCAGACCACUUCUCUAAACCAUUAUGCUUACACAAUGUUUUUAACAGUCCCCCAUUCUGUGUUUCACUGUCUCUUCUCCAAGAAAAUCUUAAUCAUAACUGGCAGCCUGCCUUCUAAAUUAGACGAAAGGAAGGCUCCAAGUGGGAAAUGGAAUUAAUUUCACUUAGCAACUUAGCCUGGAUCAGCAGGAUGAGGCUGGAGUGCAUUUUACAAUAUAUCACACUAGGAGUCCACGGUUAACUGAUUUUUGACCCAUAUUUUGUAUUUUUUUUUAUAUUCCAUGUUGCUAAGUGGUAGGAAAUAUCUUGAUUUUUCAGCUUUUCACUUAAAUCCUAACUAUAGGAGAAAAAAAUAAGUAUUUUUAUAAAGUACCAAAGUUAUAAAGAAAGACGUCUGUAGGUUAAGACAACAAAUUUGUUACUACUUUUUAAAAGGAAGAACAUUAGAAAUGACAAAGCAACAAUAUGUUGAAAUAAUUUUUUUAAUAUUUUUGGAUUUGCAAAAGAGCUUCCUAGAUAUUUUUUCUUAUUUUUGCUUUUAUAAAUAAAAAGUAAAACUAUACAGCAGCAGAAUUACUAUAGCACAUAUUUUAUGUAAAAGUGUCUCAUGUCAAAUACUAGUUCAAUUAAAGGGAAUGAAAUCACAUAUAUAAUACUGUGUCCAGUCACAUAAAGAUAACUUUUUAAUACUAUUAUACUAGAAUCUUGGCUGGGUUUUCAGUUAUAUAAUUAUUCUCUCUAGGAAAUACACAGAAUUUGAAUGAAUGAGUGGAAAAAUACUUUGCUGAGCAGCUUUGUAAAAUCACUUUUGUUUCAGUUAAAUUCAUUGAGGCCAACUGGAUAAAAUGUUAUUACCUUUAAUUUUCCAGUUUCCCAUUCUCAGAACACAGGUUAAUUUUGAUUUUUAUUUUGAUAAGUAGAUUAAAAACACAGUCCUUAAAAUAGAACAAUUAUUAUUUUUUUCUUUACAGUGUAGUUUCAGCCUGCAACAAUUAUUACACUAAAUAGAUCAUUCCUGAAUUAAAGAGGAAGGUCAGAAGCAGGCUAUAAAAGGAGCCUUGAUACUCUUGUUAUUAUUCUGGUGUUGUGUCUGCCAAAAUGCACUGGUCAAUAUUAAUGAUGUGACUUUUUCUUGGAAAUGCUGUCCAUCAAGCUCAUAUGGCUAAACCUGCUUCUUUCUGAAACCAGCGAGGCAGUCACUGCCUAUCUUUCACACUAUAUCCCUGCAGUAUGAUUAGAUGAUUUUGUUCCAUAUGCAAUUUCUCCAUUGAACUCUUUUAAGUCAAGUUCCUUUUAAAAUAUGGAAUAUUGUAUGUGGCUAAAAAACGUUUUCAUACUUCUUUCUGAUCUAAGUAUACUGUUUCAAGUCCAAAUCAGAAGACUUGUCUGGUAAGAAAUAUGAAAAUAAGAACAUCCAAGGAUCUAGAAAUGAAUUCAAGUGUCUUUACAUUAUUUCAAUUAUUUCCUUCAUUUGAUACAGAAACAUGUAGACAAUAUUUUAAGAAUUCUUUGACUUUGUAAAUAGCAUUUGAUGGAUCAUAUACAUUUUUGUUAUUAUCUAAGAGAGAGGAUACCAUCGUAGAUAAUCUUUUUUUUAUUUGCACAAGCACUUUAUUUAUUUAUUUAUUUUUAGAGAUUUCAAAACUUUGAUUCAUCCUAUUUUUGAGAGUUUACAGCUAUAAGACACAUUGAUGAGAAAAAUAGGUACUUACAUUCCCAGUUCACAUUAAUGGACUUUAAAAAAUCUAUCUAUCUAUCUAUUUAUUUAUUUAUUUUUAGUUUUAUUGAUUUUGUUUUUUUUUAAUACACAACAGUGGAAUGCAUUACAGUUCUUAUUACACAUAUAGAGUACAAUUUUUCAUCUUUGUAUAUAGAGUAUGUUCACGCCAAUUCAUACCUUUAUACAUGUACUUAAAAAAACAUUGUAAUCUUUAUAAUACAGUUACAAAGUUAAACACAUUUCACAUAUAUUCAUAUAGUCAAUAUAUAACUUUAUCAAAAUGCUCAUUUAAAAAUAAAUCUCACCAGGUGUGGUGGCACCUGCCUGUAUUCCUAGCUGCUCUGGAGCCUGAGGCAGGAGGAUCAUAAAUUCAAAGUCAGCCUCAACAACUCAGUGAGAUCCUGUUUCUAAGUAAAAUAUUAAAAGGGCUGAGGAUGUGACUGAGUGGUUAAGCAUCCCUGGGCUCAAUCCCCAGUACCAAUAAAUAAAUAAAUAAAUCUCAAUAUGUUGAAAUUGCUAAGAUUUCAAUGACUUUCUCCUGGUUGAAUCCACUGGUCUUUUCCACUAUUAUUCCAUCAUUAUCACCAUUGUUAUGUUUGAGGCACUACUUGCUAUUACUAUUCUGCUGAUUAACAUGACUAUUAGUGCUAUUGCUUAAUAUAUGUAGCAUUUACUGUGUCAGGCAUUGUACUAAAUAAGUCCCUUACCAUAUUAAAACAUAGAUAAUUAUUUAGGACCUGCUGCAGUCCUACCCCUAAGAAAUGAUUAACAAAAGACGAAGAGUGGGACUGUCUCAGCCAUGUUCCCCAAGGAGGAAAUGGCUGAAUGGGGAUUUAAAUAUAAGCACUCAAGAUGAGAAGGUGCCUUUGCCCUUUUGUAACAAUUCUCCUAUAAAUUGCCAUCAAAGUUUUCUCCCAUAAUCUUUUCUUUUUUUUAGUACCAGGGAUUGAACCCAGGUACAAUCACUGAGUCAUAUCCACAGACCACUUUAUUUAUUUUAUUUUGAGACAGGGUCUAGCUAAGUUGCUCAGUGAUUCUCUAAUUGCUGAGGCUGGUUUUGAACAUGCAAUCCUCCUGCCUCAACCUCCAGAGCCUCUGGGAUUACAGGCAUACACCACAGCACUUGACUCUACCACUGUCUUUUAAAGAGAAAUGAAUUAUAUUCAUGGCUAACUCUCUUUGGGGAAAAACAGAUGCUAGGUUUUUCCAUCCACAGGAUAAAAGAAAGUUUUGUUUUUCUUUUAUGGUGUUAGUGGCAUACUAUUAGAAGGUUCAGACAUUUCAGCAUUCAAUCAAAAGUCUCUUCUUUUGCUUUUAAGUAAAUAAAUCAUCAUAAAAUUUUAGAACUAAAGAAAAGUCUUGACAAUUGUUUCACCAUCACAUAUAUAUAGUAAAACUUAGGUUUGCUCCCAGAUAAUCUAUUCCCUUAUCUCUCUUUGCUACUAGCAAACUUCAUAUUUCUAUAAGACUUAGCUCAAAUGUUACAUCUAUGCCAUAGGCAUUUCUAAUUAGCCUCUCCCAUAACACCUGACCCAUGCCCAUGUCAUAGGAUCUGUCCUUUGCUACACUUGUCCUGGGUAUGCAACCUUGAGCAAUUUUCUUCUCCAAGUUUUGGUUUUUACUAAGAAAAACAGGCCCUUCCUCACAAGGCAUUGUGAGGAUUAAAAGAGAAAAUCAUGGUAAGGUUGACUUCUAGUCUUUGUAAUCACAUGUCUUCACUUGUCCCACCCAGAGUGUUGGAGUGUGAGCUCUUCGCCUGUAGCCCAGUGCCUGCACCAUGUCAGGCACAGUUCACUCCCAGUGAGUCUCUACUGAAUGAAGACGUUAGGGAAUUAAUAUUCUCACCGAGCAGUUCCUGGGUCUUUCAGAACAGGUAUGAUAUCUUUGAAUUUCUUAUAUGUCCACUAUCUACCAAAAUUAUUUCCGAAAGUUUAAAAUAAAAUAUUGAACUAGUCAGUGCUUUGAUUAUGUGACUUUAGCAAAGAUAGUGGGUACCUUUAUUUUACUUUAGAAAUUUGAUACCAAGUUUAAAAAGUACAUCCUUCUUUGAUUUCUUAAAAGACAAUAAAGUCCCUCUCAAAUAUGUGAAAUUUUACCCUUAAUUUCUAUUGAGUCUUUUCCUGAUGCAAUGGUUUGACCUUAAAAAUUUGCAGUCAUAUCUCUAUUUCAUGCAUGGGCAAAUGCUCUAGGAAUCAUAUGGAAUACAGUUCUGCUUGGUAAGCCUUUGACAUAACAUAUUACUCAUCACACUUGAAAUUUACAUUAGAGAAUAAUUGCCUUCUUUAUUUAAUUAUGCUUCUAUAGAACUAUGAAAAUUCAUAAAUAAAAUUAAAAUUUAUGAAUACUUUGAAGACUCUUACUUCAAUGAUUCAAUUAAUAAAUGUGUUUAAAUAUAUAAAUAAAUGUGUAUAGGUUAUUUCUGGAAAAAUAUAUUUGUGGAAUUUUUUAAAAAUCAAUAUUCACAAUGAUAAACAUCUUACUGUGCUAUUUUAAGGAGACUCACUAUAAACUGAUUCAUAGUAAAGGCAUCUCUAAUAACACAUUUAUAUCCUGGUAGACAUAUAGAUUCUGUAAACACAGAAAAAUAACUUUAUUAAUAAGGGGCAUGUUAAAAUCUAUUACAUAUGUAUAGUUCAAACAAAACUCAAAAUAUGUCUGUUUGAAUGUAGGUGUCUGUUGAUUAUAAACAUGAUCACUUAUAAUAAGAGAGAAGUAUACUUUAGUACUUAACACUUUGUUUCACAGACUUAUUAAAAUAAGUGACUACUCUUGACCACUGUUUUUCAUACAAUAUUUUCAGGGAUUGGGUCUACGUUGGGUACAUUAACUUCACAGAUAUUUAUAGCUGGGACAAAAAUUUCAAUUAAAAAACUCACAUUUAAAUAAGAAAAUUAGCGUUGUCCCCAAAUGAUAGACAUCCAGACAGCUUACCAUUUUCCAGCGUUUCAAAAAUACUGUCAACUGGAGUUUUCAAAGUGAAGGCAGAUAGUGGUAGGAUAGAUCCUAAAUAUGCCCUUUCAAAUUUAGAGCACCUGUAAUUUCUGUCAUUCUCUCUAUUUCAUUAACAUAAACAUAUACUCUGUUUUUAUUCCAUAUAAAUAUUCAAAAUAAAACUCAAAAUUCAGUAAUUAUUAAAUUUGUUCAAAGUUGCCAUUUAUUUGGGGAAGAAUGACAAAUUCUUGUCUACUUCUUUAGCCUUUUCCUUACCAAUCAUAUUAUUCCCAUUCUUUUUAAAGUGGCACACACAUGGCAAAACAGUGCUAGGGAUCCAGCAGAAUUUCUAUGCCAAGUUCUCAUUGAUGCCAUUAUACUGUCUUAAAAUAAUUUACAUGUGGGCUAAUAUAUGCAUGAGCUUACAUUAAGCUUAUAGGAGCUUUCACAAUCCAACUCUAAAAUAUAUUUCUUUCAAUAAAAGCACAUUCACUCCUUUGAAUAGAAAAUACAUAUUACCUCUUUAAAUAGCAAAAUGAAUGAAAAGACUUUCUCUUUUAAAUUCAAUUCAAGAUAAAGAGGGGUUCAUAAUGACAAUAUUUCUCCUUGUAAUUUACCAGAUGGGAAUAAAAGGCAAUAAUUGAAACAAAUACAUAUUCUGGAGUGUUUUACAUUAAGGAUAAUAUACAUGCAUUUUUGAAAUAAUUUCAUAUCAAAACAAACUCACAGAAUAUAUGGUCAUAAAAUUUUAACAAUAGAUUUCAAAGAAGUAUAAUCACCCUAUUUAUUUGAAUCCGAGAUUUAAUAUUUAAUCUGCAUAAAACUCAUAGAUAAAAGCUCAAAUAUAGAUUAGUUUCUAUUUCACUGGUUUUAUCAUACUAUAAUUCUUUUGCAACUGUCAUAUAUUAUGGUUAUCAUGGGUAUAGUGAACUUCUUAAAUGAGAAGCCAAUUAAUAGUCAAGUGUUUGGUUAUCAAUUUAUCAUGGCUAAAUACCAUAUGUUGAUCUAGAGAUUAUUGUUAGGGAUAUGCUGAACCAAAAUUCAGAUCUGCCCUAUGUGAUGGUCCUACAAUUCCCUCUUCUUUUAGAAGGACACAUUAAGCUUAUUCUAUUAUGUAAGCAUAAAAUAUCUUAUAUUGCUUAGGAAAAGAAUGGUUUGUAUAGCAUAGAAAAAAUUCUAAGGUCAUUUUUCAGGUGAAUUUUGUUAAAAAAUGAUCAGAAUAUGAUACUAUGGCAUAUCUAUGCUAAUAAAUUUAAUAAAAGAGAGAAAGAAAUGCACACUCCAAAUGAAACCUCAUGGCAAUCAGUUGUCCUACCAUAGACAAUCAGGUAUGAGCAACAGCAAAUUUUACUUUACUGAAACUUCUUGGAAAGUUGAUAAAAAGAGCAAAAAUUCUGUUUUCAUUUCUCCUCUAUCAGAUUUCCUAAGUUGAGAGGUGCCGUUUUCUUGAGGAGAUAAUUGCAGUGACAGAGUUUGGGGAGUUCUUCCAAUUUCCACUUAAUGCAGUGAAUUCCCAAUCCCUCACUGUUUCUUCUUUUGCUUAUAAUUGGUCAUGGGAAGAUCAUUUAGAGUUUGAAAUUAUGUACACAUUGAAUAAUCUUUUCCAACUUUCCCACUUAUUUGUCCAAUGUACUCCACAGUUUUUGCUACCCUUUGCUUUCAGUGACUGCCCAGAAAUCACUAUAGACUCAUUCCCAAAUCCCCAGAAAGGUUGAAAUCAAACAUAUAUUUAAUACCAGCAUUUUCCACAGCAUCCUGGGGUCCCACUAGAUUCCGCAUAUCUUUGUGACUUCAGUGCAUAUAUAUUUCUACAAAUAUCAGACCAGGACCAUUAUUUCCAGCACAGUGCUUUGCCAGGUAAUUUCGUGUAAGGAUGAAUUAUUAUUUCUAAAUCUUAAUCUGGUGUUCAUCAGAAGAACUAAAGAUCAUACUCUGACUAGAAAGAGGCAAGAGUGUUCUUUUUCUUUUUCUUUUCUUUUUUUGGUUGUUGUUUUAAAUCCCAGAUGGGAUUAUUCUGACUAUAACCUGCUUUGGAACCCCUUCUUGCCCAAUGCAGUUAUCAAUGACAGUGCUCUGCAAUGACAAUGUUCAAGCCUAGAAGUCAUGUCUGUUGUCUCUUUUCUCUCACCCUCUAUAUGCAAUCAGUUAUCAAGUCAUUUGGACUCUGCUUCUAAAAUAGAUAGAAAAUCCAUCUCAGUGUCUGCAUUCUGGAUCAGGACAACAUUUCUCUUUCUUAGAAGUGGUCAUCUGCCUCCUUCCAAAGAUCUUCCUACUUCUAGUCUGACUCCCCACUAAAUCAUCCUCCACAGACGACUUAUCUUCAAAUACAAAUAACUAUAUUACACACUGUUGUUUAAAAGCAUUCAGUGACUUCCCUUAGUAUUUAUAAUAAAAUCCAAUAUUUUUAUUAUGGUUUGAAUUGCAGGGAAAGAAAAAUAUUUUUUUUCUUUUAUCUUCCUGAGUUCCUGGCUGGUUUGCUUAUAUAUAUAAAAAAAAAAGACAGAUUGUUAUAGCUUGGAUGUGAUGUGGCAUUCUGAAAGUGCAUGUGUGAGACAAUGCAAAAAGGUUUAAAGGAGAGGCUGGGGUUGUGGCUCGGUGGUAGAGAGCCAGCCUAGCAUGUGUGAGGCCCUGGGUUCGAUCCUCAGCACCACAUAAAAAUAAAUAAUAAUAAUAAUAAAACAUACAAUACUUUUGUGUCCAAAUACAGCUAAAAAAUAAAUAUUUUUUAAAAGAAGGUUUAAAGGAGAAAUGAUUGGGUUAUAAGAGUCUUAAACCAAUCAGUGAAUUAAUCCCCUGAUGGGAUAAACUGAGUGGUACCUGAAGGUGGGUAGGGUGUGACUGGAAGAGGUGGAUCCUUGGGGGUGUAUAUUUGUAUGUGGUGAGUGGAGUCUCUGUCUCCUGCCUGAUCAUCAUGUGAGCUGUUUCCCUCUGCUACACUCCUCCACCAUGAUGCUCAGCCUCACCUUGAGCCCUAAGGAAUGAAGUCAGCUGCUUAUGGACUGAGACUUCUGAAACUAUGAGCCCCCAAAUAAACUUUUUCCUUCUUUACAAUUGUUCUGGUUGGAUCUUCUAGUCACAGCAGUGAAAAAUCUGAUUAAAACACAUAUCAGCAAAAGAAAACCAUACAAAUUUAUUUAAUAUAAGUUUAACAUGCUAUGGGAACCUAAAGAAAUGAAGACUUAAAUUUAAGUGAUUAAACCUGAGUGUUUUAUGUGAGAUGAAAUAGAGAGAGAUAUAAAAGGACCUGGUCUGAGGUAGGUGUGGUAAACUUGGGGAAUUUUAGCACAGCACCUUCUUUCAGUCCUCUCUGUGUCCUUUCAUAUUCAGAGACAAAGAUGAUGAAACAUCCCCCAUGAGGGUUUUAUGACCUGCUUCAGGCAAAGGUCACAUACUGUCUCUGAAACUCUUCAGCUCAUGGAUUCAACAUGCCAAGCUCCCAUAUUUGGUAUCGCAUGUCCUGAUGCCCAUCAAAGCCUGCCUCAUCCCUUGUCACUCUCUCCUCUGCACAUAGUUCCUCAGCUACUUUAACAGUCUUUCACUUCCUUGAAGCUAUGAGUUACGCUUUUCUCAGAGCCUGGAAAACUUCUUUACAUCCCACCUCUCCCCAUUCCCUCAUGUGGCCAACUCUCCCUUUUAAAGUAAGAAAUUAAAUAUCAAAUCCUCAGAAAGGACUUUUCUUCAGUAAGUAUUCUCCUGUCCAAAUUAUCCUAUAUUUUAGAAUGCUUUACUUCAUAACUUUGUCAAAAUUGAGAUCUAUUUUUUUUGUAUGCAUUUGCUUAAUAAUUUUAAAUUUUUCCAUUAGUGUGUAGAAUCAAUUAGAAUCAAUAAAGUAAAACCUUAUCUGUUCCACCAUGGUAGUGUAAAUCAGGCAUCUUCUCAACACAUAGUAAAUGCUUUCUAAGAAAUAUUUGUUACCAUGGGUGCAGGGUUGGAAAAAGACUGUGUCUGAGAAAAAAAGUAUUUAACUUAGCAAAAUAAAUACAACAUCUUUUCUUUAGUUUAUAUACAAUUUUACAGCUAGCAAAAUAUAGAAACCACCUGCUACUGCCAGAUAUUGUGGCAAGUGCUGGAAGAUAUUUCUACUUUUCAGAAAACAAAAAGCAAAAUAAAAAAAAAAACACCUGACUUAAACAAAUCAAUCAGAUCAAUGUAACUGAUAUAUUAUUGAAUAGGAAUUUUUAAAAAACAAUGGAAAUUUUUGCAUUCAACAACUUCAUUUAUAUUAACAAACUUCAAUUUAUAUUAAUAGAAACUUUAUUUAUACUAACAAAAACUUUCUGUUUUUUUGGUCCCAUAUUAUACUUUCCUUUUUUUUUUUUUUUUUUUUUUUUUUUUUUUGUGCCUUUCAAUGGAUGCUCAUGCUUUCAGAUUAGAACUUUAUCAUGUAAGUCAGUGUUUUAGUUCUGGGUCCAAAUUAUGCAUUUCUAUUAUUUUCCUUCAUGUAGGGUAUUAGUUGCAUAUUUGACAUUUAUUUGUCCCAAUGCUCUGUGAUCACUGUGAAAAUGAGCUGAAGUAUAUAUAAUCGGCACAUGUAACCAACAUAUGCAGUCUGUGUCUCUGAACUGGAUUUUUCUCCUUAACUAUCAUGUACCUUCAGAAACACAAAAAAUAUAUACUGAAAUUUUAGUUUUGCAAACUAUGAUGUACUUCACAAAUGCAUAUUUAGCUAUUUGGAAUGAAUAACAGAGGAUCAGAAUGAUUAUGCUACUNNNNNNNNNNNNNNNNNNNNNNNNNNNNNNNNNNNNNNNNNNNNNNNNNNNNNNNNNNNNUGACAUUUAUUUGUCCCAAUGCUCUGUGAUCACUGUGAAAAUGAGCUGAAGUAUAUAUAAUCGGCACAUGUAACCAACAUAUGCAGUCUGUGUCUCUGAACUGGAUUUUUCUCCUUAACUAUCAUGUACCUUCAGAAACACAAAAAAUAUAUACUGAAAUUUUAGUUUUGCAAACUAUGAUGUACUUCACAAAUGCAUAUUUAGCUAUUUGGAAUGAAUAACAGAGGAUCAGAAUGAUUAUGCUACUUAAAGUCUUAGAGUCAAUCUUCAAGACACAUUUCUGUAUUUCUCCUGUUUUCCUUUGUUGCAGAGAUUCCUAACUCAGCAAAAAUGAAAACCACCUAAUUAACUGUUAAUUAGUGCACUCUGUAUUUUAUCAUAAUUGGCUUCCUAAAAUGAAAAUAAACAAACACAUGCUCUUCCAAUAUCCAAACCUAUGGCAUAAAAUGAAAUACCUAUUUCUUCAGUCUUAAGAAUUUUAAUAUAUAAAUUCCAAAAUUUCCUUAUCAGAUAUUUUUGAUAUUAUGAAGAUUUGAUCCAUAAUAAUUAUUAAAAAUAACAUGUCAUCCAAACUGCUAUAGCACUCCCUCAUUUUUAGUUAUGGGUUUCUCUGAGGUCAUGACAUGGCUUGGAUUAUAAUAGGACGCAAUGAUGAAAAAGAUACAGUCUAAAUGUGAUAUGUGCCUAUUGAAAUGAUUGCUUUCAUUUAAAAAUAGUUAUUUAAUUCCAUUAAGUUUCAUCAUAUCUUUCAAAAUUUUUAAUUAUUAUGGAUAAAAAUGAACGUAUUUAAAUCAAAAUUAUUAUUACUUUAAAAAGAAAAUCAUGCAAUUUCAAAUACCAUGCAUAAUAGGACAAUAUAGUAUGUAGUAAACAUUUGCAUAAUUGACUCAGAAUUUUAAUAAAGAAUAUUGAUUUUUAUACCAUCCUUCCUAUAAGGCAUAAAACAGAUAUGUGAAGCACUGUUGUAUUUUUUCAUGGAUAAUUAAAUAUAAUUAUAUUUAAUAAAUAGAGUAAUCACUGCAUAUAUAUUAAUAUUUUACUAUGAAAGAUGUAAAUAUAAAGAUAUUUAUAUAAAUAUGUAUUUUAAUAUAGCUAUUAAGAUAAGAAAUUUUCUGUAUCUUAGGUUAAUGCAUGUAUUAUGCAUUGUCCACUAUAAGUUUUACACACUGAAAUUAGUUAUGUGGACACAAUUUUGAAAUAAAAAUUCACUACUUAUUGAUUUAACUUUAACCUUGAAUGGAUUGUGAUAAUUUAUUUGCAUUGUGUGGUGUUAAGCAUACCAAAAAUUUCAAUUAAAAUAUUCCACAGGAUCAUGAAAAAACUCAGCAUAUUAAGGUAACCUUUAGGUUUUCAAAUACAAUUAUGGUUAAAAUUUAUUUGUUGUUUUGAAAAUAUUGUGCUUAAUAAAUUGCCUAAACAUAUACAAGCCAUGUCAAAUGCGGCAUUUACUACAUAAUAUUAUUGUAUGUACUUGUCGAAGGUUUUAUUUGCAUUGUGAGUAUGUAUGUGCAUUCAUUUCCUACAACCCAAUGUUGACAGUCCAGUAGAGAAGAGCAAAACUUAGCACACUUUCAAAAAGACAGGACAAUAAGAAUGAAAACAAGUUUUAAUAAUAUUAGUCUUCAGAUGUUAAAAUACCACUAUACACAUAUCAAAAUCUAAAAUUACAAGGGCAAAAAAUGUCAAAUGUUACUGACUAUGAAGCAAAUGAACUCUCAUAAUUUGCUUUCAGAAACUGGGAGCUACUUUGGGAAGUGUCAGUAUUUGUUAAAGCAGAAUAAAUGCAUUUUCUAUUCACGCAGUCAAGUGCAUGUAAGUGUUCCUAAAAGAUAUGCUCCUGAUUAUCCAUAUCAUCACUAUUCUUAAGACUCAAAGUCUGAAAGAUACUCAAAUGCUGAUCAAUGGUAGAAAGGUUCAAUAAUUUGGUAUAUUCUCACAGGUGAAUAUUAUACAACAGUGAAAAUGAGUGUUUUACCACUGCACACAAAAAUCUUACAAACAAAAUGUUGAAAAAUGGGAAGCAAUAUCUGCUAUGACUUCAUUUAUAGAAUGUAAAAAUGGAGGUAAAUUAUGCCUCUAGAGGUUAAGAUGUUGUUUAUAUUCUGGGAGUAUAUUGAGACCAGUCAAGGGCAUAACAGAGACUUUAAAAAAAAUAAGUUUAUAUGAGUACUGGUUAUAUGAAUGUGUUCAUUUUCUGACAUUUGCUGAGACCAUAUACCUAUGAUACUAGUAAUCUUCUGUAAACAUAUGUGUUUACAUAAGAAAAUUAAAUGCAGUAAUGAUGAGGGUAAUUUUUUUAAAAAGUUGCAUUCUAUAAGUUGAAAUAAAUUUUUAAGAAAGUUCAUUUAGGACAGGAAAUCCACAGAAAAAAUACAAAUGGUCAACAAAUAUGAAAAAAAUGUUCAUCAUCUCUAGCAAUUAGAGAAAAGCAAAUCAAAACUACUCUGAGAUUACAUCUCACUCCAGUCAGAGUGGCAAUUAACAAAAUUACAAGUAACAAAUGUUGGCAAGGAUGUGGGAGAAAAAAGUAAAUAUACAUUGCGGAUAGGACUGCAAAUUGGUGCAAACACUCUGGGAAGCAGGAUGAAGAUUACUCAGAAAACUUGGAAUGGAACCACCAUUUGAACUAGUUAUCCCACUCCUUGUGUUAUACACAAAGGAUUUAAAAUCAACAUACUACAGUGAUGCAGCCACAUCAAUGUUUAUAGCAGCCCAAUUUACAAUAGCAAAACUAUGGAACCAACUAGGUGCUCUUGAAAAGAUGAAUGGAUAAAGAAAAUGUAUGUGUGUGUGUGUGUGUGUGUGUGUGUGUGUAUAUAUAUAUAUAUAUAUAUAUAUAUAUCACAGAAUAUUACUCAGCCAUAAAAAAGAAGUAAAUUAUGGCAUUUGUUGGUAAAUGGAUACAACUGGAGAUUAUCAUGCUAAGUGAAAUAAGCCAGUACCAAAAAAAAACAAAAGCCAAAUGUUAUUUCUGAUAUGUGGAUGCUAACACAUAAUGGUUGGGGGUGGACGUGGGGAGAGAAUAGCAGUUCACUGGAUUAGACAAAGGGGAAUAAAAAGGAAAGGGAGGGGAACUGGGAAUAGAAAAGACAGUAGAAUGAAUUGGAUAUAACUUUCCUAUACUCAUAUAUAAAUACAUGAUCAGUGAAACUCCACAUUAGAAUGGGAUCCUAAUUAUAAUGUUAUACUGCAUGUAUGUGUAAUAUGUCAAAAUAACCUCUACUGUUAAGUAUAUCUAAAAAGAAUAAAUAAAAAAGAAAGUUUAUAAGGUAUGUUUGUAAAAUAUAAUUCACAAUUAAAAAUAUACUUUUUCAGGGUAAGAUUAUUACUCUAUUCAUAUACAAAUAAUUCAUAAAAGUUUCCUCAGUUAUCAGCAAAAUCCUCCCAGUAUGAUAAAAGAAUAUCCACUUGCUUCCAUAUAACACUUGUUUAUUAUGCUAUGUUAAAUGUUUCAGAAAUAUGUAACCAAAAAGUACACCUUACAGUUCCCAGAGGAAGCUGUUGGCUACAGUGAUUUAAAACAUCUUAAAGAUGCAGUUCAAUAAAGCCACAUGUCCAAAAUAAAUACUUUUGGUCUCUUGCAUUUUAGUUUCCAAGGAUACAACAUUUCCCCAAAUAUAAAAUGUAUGACAUAAAUUUCCAUAUCACCUAGACUUUAUGUAUUCAUAACAAGAUAAACCUUUAUCAUGUUUAUCAUUAAGGAACAGAUAUAUUCUGAAAGUUUUGAUAAAAAUUAACUUCAUCAGUUUUACAACACAAAGAAGCUUAUAUUUAUAUAUAUUCUGUAGUAAUCAAUUAUUACUAUAAUACACAUGUUCAUCAAAUGCUAUUGAAUGAAUUCAACCACAGAAAUUAACAAAUGAAUGAGUAAAAAAAAUCCUUAGAAAUCACUUGCUAUUUCUUAUUUUAUUUCCAUACUUAUACUUUCCUUUCAACUCCCUAAAGCUCAAACAUCAGACCUUCAUAGAGAAACCAAAUUCUGAUAAAUCUUGACAGGUUAUAAAAUACGUUUUACUUAAAUAAUUCAUCGUAUGUAUUUACUGGCAUUACAUAGAAUGUACCAUGAACAGCUUAAUACACAAAUUGUCACUCAUGCCCAGAGGACUUUUUUCAGUUGUAUAAAACUUCAUCAUUCAAUAUCUUGCCUUCAAAUUUAUUUGAGUUCCAUCAAAGACUAUAUCAAAUAACUAUUACUAUUAUACAACUAAGAACAUUUUGAUAGAAAAAGAUUGCAUAGUUUCCCCAACAUUUACGGUAACACAUCAAGUGAAUUAUUCCAACUUCCUUUACUUUUUAAAACUGAACACUAUGAAACAGGAGUAAUAGAAAAACAAUAAUAUUAAAAUUAGGUACAUUAAUUAUAAUCUUACCAUAAACUCACAGGUUAAGAAUUCAAAGAUAAAGUUCGCCACCCUGAGACCUAGAAAAGUAUAAGCAGAAACAUUCUUUAUUAGUUCUGGCAUUCAACUUUAAUUCACACACCAAAAAAAUGUUAGUAAUUUAAUAUUAUAAGAAAUUUUAUUAUAUGAGUAAUUAAUGUACAUUUAACAUGACAGCUUUGACUAUAACAUUUGUCUGCAAUAGCAUUAUCAGUAACUCGGCUCACAUCAAAUUAUUGUGAUUUAAGAUUAAUUACUUUAAUUUGGGCUCUGUAAUGCAGAAUGACAAACAAGCAAUCUUUAGUGUCUUCUUUGCUUCUUGUGAAACUAUGGGUGAUGGACACAUUUGCAAGAAGAAUGUAUUUUGCAUAUGUUAUUUUGGAGAAGCUUCUUUGUUACAUUCAUUUGACAGUGUCAAGUAUACUUCCAUCCAUCUCUAUACAUAUACACAUGCAAUCACAUUCAUGUGCAUACACUCAAAUGUGUUUAUCAUACUGUAAUCCUAUUUUCAUAAUUGCUUCAUCUGUAUUAAUCAUUAAGUAAUGUAAUAAUAUAGAAUUCUCCUUAAAUGUAGAGACUCUAUGUUAUCAUUUUAAAGAUUGCACAGUUAGGGGCUGUAGUUGUGGCUCAGUGGCAGAGCACUUGACUAGUACUUGUGAGACACUGGAUUUGAUCCUUAGCACCACAUAAAAAAUAAAUAAAAUAAAGUUAUUGUGUUCAUGCAUAACUAAAAAUAUGAAAAAAGAAGACUUCAUCGUAUUCUAUAGUUUCAUCCUAAAUUGUCUAGGAUAUUUGAUUUAAUAAAAACGUUGUGUGAAACUGGUAUUAUCCUCUUUAAAUUAAGUCACUCAAUUACCAUUGUGUGUGACAUUUAAUAGUUGCUGCAUCCUUUGCAAAAUUUUAUUUUGAUAAAAUGGUACUAAGUAGUCAAUAAACAUUACUAAGUUCUUAAAUUUGCUUUGUUAUAGCAAUGAGUUUGCAAAUACUGCUAACUUCUUCAUGGAGGACCAAGAUUAAAUCUUCAAUUUUUUCUUCUUUUUAUGUAGAAUAGUAUCUAACUAUAAUGGAAAUUUUUUCUUAAGGCUCCACGUGGUGUGAUUCGAAAUGCUUGUACCUCAAAAAGUGCAUGGAAGAGUCACAGGGGCACUUCCUUCCUGCUCUCAUUUUUAUCAAGAAAUGCAGCAAAUGAAUUUUUGGUGAAAUGAAAAAAGGUUGAAAUGUUAGAAUCAGUAUCUGACUGGAACUAAUUGUAGAAUAAAACUUAGAUAUACAAAUUAUUAUUUUUAAUUGUUAUUACCUUUAUUAAAAAUUUUAAGUUAGGUUUUAAGCUUUUGACAUUAUAAUGCUGAAACAACAAUAUAUUCUUAACAUCCCUUAGCACUGUCAGAUGCUAGAUUACUCCUACAGGCACUGUGUUUCAUAUUUAGAAUAUUAAAUUAAUGCUUUUAGCUAAAUAACAUAAUUUCAAAAUAAAAAGCACAUAAAGAGAUUUAUGUGUUUAUAUGCAUUUGAAAGUGAAUAUUUAGACAUUAAUACUAAAUACAAAGGAUAUCCCCUUCUGUAUUACUGACACUAUUUCAUCAAUUAGAUAGUGGGAAUACAAAUUAUAAGUCCUUGUUCAUAUUUAAAUUCAGGAAUUUUAGAAAUGAUAUUGAAGGCAUUGGCUAGUUUGUUCUUCAAGGCCAGAUCCAAAUCGGAGAGGAGAUUUUAGGCAUAUAAGAAGACCAACACAGAAAUAUUAAGCACUCCAGCUUUAAUUUACCUUUUUAAAUGAUUUGUGAAGCUUGAUUCAGGCAAGGAUACUGUGUAUUGGGAUAUGUUUAAAGAAGAAAGAGUAAAUUUUAACAUAACAUUUCUAAAUAACUAUUUUUACAGGAGAAACUCAUGAUGAAGGACCAGUGAUUAAACUGUCAAUGACAUUGGCACUGGGUUAAAGUUUUAUCCUUGAUGCAUUUCAUGAAGUUUUAUUCCACAUAAGAUGCUAGAUAAGUGAAUCAUACCAGACAUACUUCUCUAAUAUGAACUAGUUCUCUUGGGAGGCACAGCCAUUCAGAAAGCACUUAUGGUAAGCCAAAUAAGCAAACCCCAAAAGACAUUUUUGGUGUUUUUAAAUAAUUGUAAUAUCCUAAAUCUAUCUUCUCAAAGAAGGAGUACUUCAAAGUUAUGUUUAUAUGACAGUUAAAUUGUUACAUAAAUUUUGAAAAUUGUAGCUGAGUUAAUAUUUCUGUAGAUAAACUAAUGCUAUUAGUGAAUACAUUUAGGACAUACAAUUCAGCAUUUGGAAAAAAAAAUCAUGAAUUGGCUUGUUAGAUGGGGAUUUCUUUGAUGUUAUAAAAGGAGUACUGGAAAUGGUAAGAUGGCAGAUAAAAGGAAGGAUGCACAUCCCGCCAGCUCCUCAACGAUAGACUUAAAAAGCCGUAAGAUGGCUUUUUAGCAAGGUGGUAAAUAAGGGAAUGAACUGAAGAUUAAUACUGAAGUGUUAAAAAAAACAAAAACAAACAGAAAAACUGAAGAGUCAUAGAAGUCAGAAGUACAAAUCUAAGAAAUAAUACAUUACAGAAGUGCCAUCUUGGGCGCCAUCCUGGCUGCCAUCAGCAGUAGCAAAGAGCCAAGGUUAGCAUAGACAGAAAAAUGGUGACAUGGCUGGCAGAUAAAGAAAUUGAAAAAUAAUGAAGAAUUGACUUGGGCUAACCUGAGGAUUAGAGUGUAAGUCUGAUUUUAAUAGUUAUAGCAUAGGUAGGGAAAGUGAAUUAGUGAAAGAAAAUCCAAAAAUAGCUCCCAUGGGAGCAGAGUCAUUUGGGGCACAGAAAAUGGUUGCCAGGCUCCUGAGGAAAGCUACAGUGGCAGUGCUCUCCACUGGCAGGGAAAGCAUGUGCUCACCCUUCUAGUCAGAGUAGUCUGCCACUGAAUCCCAGCUGACAGAGAAAACAUGGCAUUUCUGCAGCCAGGAAAAUGUGUGCUCUUGGUACCAAAGCAGCUGCCUCCCAUAUUCCUGUACCUGAGGAAGGCACAUGCAUGUGUGGCCCCUGCUGUACUCCCACUGCCUACGGAAUUUCCCCAACAGGAGACAGGAGAUCAGAAACCCCUGAAGCUAACCAAAAAUUCUCAGAAGGCAACUGAAGCAGAGAGGCUGAAAUAGGCACAAAGAAAAAUCUGACAGUCAGGUUCUGGAUUCCAAGGAUGAUAGAUAUCUCCCACUGUGGCUGGUGCUUCAGCAACUACACAGGAGCAUCAGCAAUCUAGGGCAGAGUCCCCAUAUUUCAUAUUCAUAGUGGUGAAGGUGAUGAGGCAGGAGCAAAGCACAGGUAGUCAGUAUAGAUAAUAAGUGAUCAGGUUGGAAAGAUGGCGGCUAAUUAUCAAAGGAAAAGAAAUAGAAUGUCAACACCUCCUGAGCACUUUCCCCCUCUCAACCAGUUACCAACACAUUCAGGGAAUUGCUCCCUGUAACAAAGGAGUUGCUAAUGAGUACCCCCUGCGUGGCUCUUUUCCUGCACUUUGGGCAGAUUCUGAGGAUAAUGAGGGAUACUCCUGGGCAGCUUUAUGCCUCCCUUUUGGUCACUUAGGAAAGAUUGGAGGAGGUGGGGGAGGAAAGGAAACCUGAGAUUUAUAAAGGGGCCAGACCCCGCCCCCCAUGAAGUCCACAAUCUCUGUUCUGUCCCUUAAAUAAAAAUUGUUUUCUAGGCUUACCUCUGCAUUUCUCAGGUGUUUAAUAUUCAACACCCUGGAAAUGAGGACCUGAUUUCCCAGAUGGGUAUCAGUGAAACCUGUAGAGGUUUUGUCCCUAAUACACUAAAAUUAUAUUUCACCAGAGACCCUAAAGAUGCAGACAUCCUGCUGAGACUGGCAUCCACCUUCCAAUGGGGUGUGUACAGCAACUCUCAAACACCCAUGCACAGAGUGCAGAAAUUCCAUCCAGACUAAAACUGAAUUACUGCUGUCUCCAAUUUAGGACUCUGCAAUACGCCUAGCACAGAAAGACACAAUUUGUCAACAUCCAAAUUGUGACACCCCACCAUACCCUGGUGAAGCUGGGGGACAAAAGUCAGUCAGUGUAGGUAAUGAAUGAUUGGUUCAGAAAGAAUAGGGCUGAUUCAGGAGGAAAUAAAAUGUUAAUACCUUAAAGGACAUUUCCCACUCCUCUACUUGUUGUCAAGAAUACCUUCCUCCAGGAAAGGGUUCCUCCCUGCAGGGAGUUGUAGGAGUUGUUAACAAGUAACCUCCUGGGUGGCUCCUUUCCUGCCCAUUUGGGCAGACACAAAGAGGCACCUCUGGAAGGCUUCUUUCUAAAGUUUUGUCACUAAGAUAAAGGGAGGAGAGAGCAUGAGAACAACUGAAAUCUAAAAAGUUUGAAAGGGGCAAGACACCCCCACUUCCUUGGACAGGCAGCUCUGGGGCCCCUUCUCUGUGAAGAAGUCUAUAUCUGCUCUAUCCUUUAAAUAAAACUUGCUUUCUAUGCUUGCCUUGGUGUUUCUCAGGUGUUCAAUUUUCAACAUCUGGGGAAAGGGAACUUGUGUUUAAUUUUCAACAUCUGGGGGACCCAAACUUGGCCUUGAUUCAUUCUCAUCAUCAGUAUCACUGUGAGCCUGGAAGCUGAGUGGUACUACAACCAGCUUUGCCUCCUAGCCACAUAGUCUGGCAGCUAAAAGAAGAACACAGAGGAAUUAGGUUACAACCUUGAUCCUCAACCCAAGGGUCCAAAGCCAAAUGUAAGAGAAUGAAAAUCCAUCUCCAACAAUAGAUUUGACAAUCAUGGUAUUAAUAAGCCCUUUAUUCCUCAGCAAGAUUUUAAAUUGAAAAAAAAUUUUCCUUUCCUCAUUACUAUUGCUUUUCUUUUCUUCAUACUCUCAUUUUAAUCUAUUUUUUUCUUCUUCUUUCUUUAAAAUUUUAACAUUUAAAAAUUUUUAAACACAAUUUCCUUGUAAAGUAUUAAUUUUUACCUUUUUUUUGUUUUUUGUUUUUUGUUUUGGUGCAUGUAUGUGGAUGUUUUUGUGUGGAUGGAUUCACUAUGCAAACAGGUUCAAUAAUAUAUACAUAUUUAUAUAAGGUUUAUCUUCACAUUAAUUUCUUCCUUCUGUACCUGUUUAUUAUUUAGCCUUGAUUUGUUUUAGGUAGGGUUCAAGAAUAUGUAGGUUUGAAAUAUUUUGAUCUUAUAGUUGCUGGUUUGUCCAUACUUUGGUUCACAUUUCUCUUAUUUCCCCUUCAUCACUCUCUUUCCACAGUAACAGUGACGUUUUCCUAUUCCCGGGUCUACUCUUCCUUUAUUUUAUUACUUUCUGUAAAUCUUUUAUUCCUUCUUAUUUAUAGCCAACAUCUGCUACUUACCACCUGCCUCUCCUUUGAUAACUUUUAAAAAAUAUUUCAAACUUUAUCUCACCUUCACACCUUCUUUUUCUUUGCUUAAGAAACUGUAAUUCUACUAAAUAGUAGAAUUAUAUAAUUAAUGUAAUUCAUACCCCAUUCAUAUGGUUAUGAUUAUUAAAACAGUGGAUAAUAUGGUAGGUACUUGAUGUUGAAUGCCUGAUCUACUGCAGUUUUGUAUUGCUAGUACUAAUUUUAAAUGCUGACCCCACCAUUACUAUAUAGAUGGCAAACAGUGUCAAAAUAGAGACUGGAUAUUUAUCUCCAUUCUGAACAACUGCCACUGAUAUUAGUGCUACUCCUGGCUGCCCCCUCUGAGAGGGGUAAAAAGUGGACUAGACACUUUAAGAUGACAGAGUAGAGAUCUUCCUGCUGAGAAACACAACUCAUCUAAGCAAUAGCAAGUUUCACCUCACACUAUGAUCUAGCCCCACCUGAGCCUAAACUUUACUUCAACAAAAAGAGUUGGGGAAACAAAAUUCCCAAAUGCAAAAUCGGGUCUCAAGGAGAAACCACCAGAAGGGAACUCAGAUCCCCUCCCUUGACAUCUACUCAUAUACUAACAACAGAGAAAUCCUAGAAUAUGUCUAGAAAGAACUACACACAUAAGGAGACACAUAUAGAAGAGGAAGGUGAAUCCAUCUCAAUUGAUGCACAAAUCCAGUACCUCUGAAAACAUGAGGAAACAGGCAAAAAAAAAAAAAAAAAAAAUCUCCUCCCCAAAUUCAUAAUCCUCCAAGAAAGGAUCCUAAUUAUAUAGAAGAAUAUAAAAUUCCAGAGAAAACUUAUGAAAAAAAACCCCUGAUUAUUAAAAAGUUCAAUGAACUAAAAGAAGAUCUAAAAAAUGAAUUAAGAGUGCAAAUUCAGGAGUUGAAAGACCAUUAUAAUAAAGAAAUAGAAAUACUGAAAAGAAAAAACUAGAACUCCUAGAAAUGAAAGACAUAAUGAUUCAAAUUAAAAAUUCACCUGAAAGCUUCAUCAGCAGAUUAAAUUUCAUAGAGAAUAGAACGUUAGUGCCUGAAGACAGAACCUCAGACAUUGAAGACAGGAUAAAUGAAUUUGAGUAUAGAGAGUACAGCAAAGAAGAGGAAAAAUAGAACAUGAUCAGGAUAUAUAGGAACUCUGGGAAACCAAAAAGAGACCAAAUCUAAGAAUCAUUAAGAUAGAAGAGAAUAUGGAGACAUAAGCUAAAGGCAUUAAGAAUGUUUUCAAUGAGAUAAUUACAGAAAACUUUUCCCAUAUCAGAAAGGAGAUAGACAUCCUCAAAAGGAGAAUUAAGGACCUAAAAUAGACCUGGUCAGAAAAGAAGCUUUCUAAGACACAUCAUAAUCAAAAUGCCUAACACAGAAAAUAAAGAAUAUUUAAUGCCACAAGAGAGAAACAUCAGGUCAUAUUUAGAGGCAAACAAAUAAGGCUCUCACUUCUGACUUCUCAACUCAAACACUAAAAUCAAGGAGAACCUGGAAUGAGAUAUUUCAUACUCUAAAAGAAAACAAUUCCCAACCAAGAGGAAAUAAAAUAAUUUCCAUAACAAAGAUAAACUAAAAGAAUUCAUGACAACCAAGCCAGCACAACUUCUCAAAGAAAAACUGCAGAGAAACCAACAAACAAAUCCCAAAACUUCCAAAUAGGUACACAUCAAAAGAAGACUAAUUAUCUAAGUUAUCUAAAUGAGAAUUAAACAGAACAAAAAAAUCAAAGUGGUAGUAAACCAAACACAAACACAUAUCCAUAACAGUGGAUAUAAAUGAUUUCAACUCCCCAAUUAAAAGACAUAGAUUAGCAGAAUGGAUCAAGAGACAAGAUUUAAUUAUAUGCUGACUAUAAGAGACUGAUUUCACAGGCAAGGACACUCACAGCCUAAAGAAAAGAGAAUAGAAUAAAACAUUCCAUGAAAAUGGAGUCCAUAAACAAGCCAGAGUAGCUAUUCUUAUAUCUGAAAAAGAUGAUUUCAAGCAGAAAACCAAUCAAAAUAGACAAAGAAGGACAUUAUAUCUCAAUAAAUGGGAAAAUGCAAGAAGAAGCUAUAACAAUAGUAAAUGUAUAUGCCCCAAUUGUCAGCAUGCCCGAUUACUUAAAAAAAAUACCCAACAUUAAACCCCAGUUACACCACAAUACAAUAAUUCUGGAUGACUUCAACAUACCCAUAUUACCAAUAAAUGGCUCAUCAAAGCAUAAAAUCAAUACAAAUAUAGCCAACCUAAAUAAUAUUAUAAUAUUAAUAGCAACCUAUAUAAUAUUAUAUUAUGUCAAAUGAACAUAAUAUACAUCUACAGAAUAUUCCACUCUGAAAAUGGCUGGAUUUACCUUCUUCUCAACAAUUUACUGUAUCUUUUCCAAAAUAGAUUAUAUUUUAUGUCACAAUAUCAAUCCUAGCAAAUAAAAAAAAAGAUGUAUUUCCCUGCAACCUGUUAGAUAAUUAUGUAAUGAAACUAGAAAUUAACAGUAAGAGCAUAAUAAUAAAAAUCCUAUAAACAUAUGAGGGUUAAACAAUACUCAUUAAAAUAAAUAAUGGAUCAAGAAUAAAUGAGAGAAGAAAUUAAUAAAUUCUUAGAAACAAAUGAAAACAAACACAACAUAUCAAAAUCUCUGGAACAAUAUGAAAACAGAACUAAGAGGAAAACUUAUUGCAUUGAGUGACCACAUUAAAAAACAGAGAGAUCCCAAAUAAAUAAGCUUAUGCUCAACCACGAGGCCUUAGAAAAAAAUCAAACUAACUUUAAAAUCAGUAGAAGAGGGGAAAUAAUAAAGAUCAAAACUGAAAAUGAUGAAAUUGAGAAUGAAAAAAUAUACAGGAUCAAUGCAACAAAGAGUUCGUUCAUCCAACAAAUAAGAUUGACAAACCCUAGCCAAACUAACUGAGGUGGGGGAGGGAGGUGGAAGAGAGAAAGACCCAAAUCAACAAAAUUAGAGAUAAAAAGGAGAUAUCACCACAGAUACUUCUGAAAUCCAGAGCAUCAUUGGAAACUAUUUUGAAAAUAUAUACACCAAGAAACUGCAAAUUGACAAAUUUCUAAACACAUAUGACCUACUCAAAUUGAACUAGAAAGACAUAGAAAACUUAAAUAGACUAUUAUCAUCUAAUGAAAUUACAGUAUUUAAAAGCCUACCGACAAAGAAAAGCUCAGGACCAGAUGGGUUCUCUGAGUUCUAGUAGACCUUUACAGAAAAAUUAACACCAGUCUUCCUCAAAUUAUUCUAUGUAAUUGAAAGUGAAGGAACACUCCCAAAUGCAUUCUAUGAGGUCCGUAUAUCCCUGAUACCAAAACCAGAUAAAGACACAUCUUGGAUAGAAAACUACAGGCCAAUCUUCCUGGUGAACAUAGAUGCAAAAAUCCUUACUAAAAUAUUAGCAAGCCACAUUCAAAAAUGUGAAGAUGAUACACCAUGACCAAGAGGGAUUCAUCCCAGGCAUACAAGUUUGGUUGAAAAUAUGCAAGUCAAUAAAUGUAAUUUGCCACAUAAAUAGAAUUAAGAACGAGAACUAUAUGAUAAACUCAAUAGACAUAGAAAAGGCCUUUAGCAGAAUACAGCAAUCAUUCAUGUUAAAAUGCUGGAAAAACUACAGACAGAAGAAAAUUACCUUAACAUUAUAAAGACUAGAUAUUACAAACCCAAGUCAACAUUUUACUGAAUGGAAAAACCUGAAAGCUUUUUCUCUAAAAUCAGGAACAAGAAAAUAAUGUCCACUUUAACCAUUUUUAUUCCAUGAGGCUCUUGAAACUCUAGUCAGAACAAUCAGACAAGAGGAGGAAAUUAAAGAUUUACAAAUAGUGAAAAGAAAAAGUCAAACUACCACUGUUUGCUGAUGAUAAAAUAUUAUAUCUAGAAGACCCAAAAAUUCCACCAGAAGACUCCUACAGUUGAUAAAUAAAUUUAGCAAAGUAGCAGGAUACAAGAUAAAUAAUUGUAAACCAAUAGUUUUAAAUAAAACCAUCCCUUUAACAAUAUCCUCUAAAACAAACCUGAAAAUUAAGAUCUAACCAAGGUAGUAAAAGAUCUCUACAGUGAAAAUUAUGAAACACUGAAGAAAGAAAUUGAAGAUGACCUCAGAAGAAAGAAAUUGAAGAUGACCUCCCAUGUUUUUGGAUAGGCAGAAUCAAUAUUUUCAAAAUAGACAUACUACCAAAAGCAAUAUACAGAAUCAAUGAAAUACCCAUCAAAGUACCAAUGACAUUCUUUAUAGAAGUGGAAAAAAUAGUUCUUAAAUUAAUUUGGAAGAAUAAGAGACCAUAAUGGUCAAAGCAAUUUUGAAUGAGAAAGGUGAUGCGGUAUGCAUUGAAGUGUCUGACCUCAAAUUGUACUACAAAGAUAGAAUAGCAAAACCAAGAUGGCAUCAAUACAGACAUGAAGACAAACGGAAUAGAAGAUACAGAGAAAAACUCACUUACGGUCAUCUGAUACUUGGUAAAGGUGCCAAAAUUAUAUGUUAGAGGAGGAUCCAAAUGGGGGGCCUGAGAGAGGCAGCAUUCUGUGUUGCUCCAUGACCUGGGACUCAAGUAGUGAACAUACUGCUUCUUUGUGAGCAAUAUUCCUGCUCCUGCAUGGGCAUCAUGGCCACUGUGCCCAUCCAGUGAUCCAGGACUCAGCAUCAAAGUAGGUCUCCCAAUUACUUGCCCAUGCAGGAUUACUGGGUACCUGAGUGGGACCAUCAACAUACGCUCAGAACAUUCAGCCACCCACCAAGCAAAAAUCACCCAUGCCACUCCCACUCAGGACACCCCACAGCUUCCCACCCAGUAAUUCCGGCCACCAAUCCUGUGUGGAUCCCCAUCUACCAACAUGAGGUUCCCCUGGUGGCUGCCACCUUGGGAAUCAUCAGCAACAGACAUAGUCCUCUACUCGAAGUAGCCUGCCUGCACCAAGGAACUUCAUGCAGGCUCUGAAGUCAGCCAACACUGAAAGCCACAGGGCUUGUCUCUGAACUCAUCAUCCAAAGCCAUCACUCGGCUCCCCCCACCUGACCCAACGCCCCACCUCUAAAAGCAGGCACCUCCAUCUUGGGUCACCUUCACCAACAUCUUCCAGGUACCCAGCUUCUAACUCCCCCCUCUUCCCAGUAGGCACUAACCCAGCACAGUGAUACCCCUGUUACCUUCACCAUCCUAAGGACAGAGAUACCAGUUAACAACAGAUGACCCCACCUAUUAGAUGAGAAAGGAAGCAGGAAAGACAUGGAUCUUCAAUCAAAACGAGCCCUGUGUCUUCCUUCAAGAUUUUCUUUUUUUUUUUUCUCUCUCUCUCUCUCCAUUCUCCCACCCUCAUAUUCCCAACAUAUGUGAAGCCAAGUACUUUGCAUGAAUUGGGAUUUUAAGGACUAGGAUGCCUGAAUAGUAUAUUAUAGUUUUGUUGUAUAUUCUUUUUAUUAUUCUUUUGUAUAUUUCUUUCCCACCAAUUUAUUCUAUUUUAACUUUUUUUUAAUCUUUCUUAAUAUAUAUGUGUGUUUGCUUUAGGUACUCUACUGUCUUUCCCACUUACCUGUCUACCCCAAAUUACUUUCUCUCCCUUCUCCUGCUACUAAUCUUCCUCUUUAUAUUUCUCUUUCACACUUCCUAAGAUAUAGCAACUCUACAUCCUCACCUCCUACCUCCUCAGCAUAUCAUCCUACUCCUUACCCCUGGUUCUAUAUCUUCCAUCAGAAACUGUAAACCCUUUUACAAACAUACUGAGUAUUCUGUAAAUAAUAAUUGAAUUCACCAUUUAUGUACAGUGUGACCAAACUGUAAAUGUCUUAAUAGCAAACAUUUGUUUUUAAGGUGUAUAUUGUUCAUAUUGUGAUCUGAUAAGUCUGUCACAUCAAAGGAGAGGUAGUGGAUCCCUACAGGGGCACUAUAAGACUAUAAUAUAAAAAUGGUAAUGCUUAGGAUCCACAGUGCUAGAAGGGAAGAAACACAAGCAAUAUAAAAAGACAAGGGAAGAAAAUGCCCCAAACAAAUCAAGACACCACAUUAUUAAAAUUCAUGGCCAGCACAGCAGAAGAAAUGAGAAGAGAAGGAGUUCAGGAUGUACAUAAUUAAAAUGAUCUACAAAUUAAAGAAUGAUAUGAAAAGAAAAUACAAUCAACAAAAUAUCAUUUUUAACAAAAAGCUACAUAAACAAAUACAGGAAGAAAAUGAUUACUUCAAUAGGGAGAUAGAGGUCAAAACAACAACAACAACAACAACAAAAAAAAAAACACCCAGAAAUCCCUGAAAUGAAAGAAACAAUAAACCAAAUUAAAAGUUCAACUGAAAGCAUCACCAACAAAUUAGAUCACUUGGAAGAUAGGACCUCAGACAAUGAAGACAAAAUAUAUAAUCUUGAAAAGAAUGUAGACCACACAGUGAAAAUGGUAAGAAGUAAUGAGCAGAACAUUCAAGAAAUAUGAGAUACCAUACAAAGACCAAAUUUAAAAAUUAUUGGGAUAGAAGAAGGAAUAGAAUUCCAAACCAAAGGAAUAAGCAAUCUAAUCAAUGAAAUAAUAUAAGAAAAAAUUCUAAACAUGAAGAAUGAAUUGGAAAACCAAAUUCAAGAGUCUUACAGGAUGCCAAAUGAACAAAAUCACAACAUAUCCACACCAAGCCACAUUAUAAUGAAAAUUCCUAACGUACAGAAUAAGGAGAGAAUAUUAAAAAUCAUUAGAGAAAGAAAUCAGAUUACAUAUAGGGGGAAACCAAUUAGAUUAUGUGCAAAUUUUUCAACCCAGACCCUGAAAGCUAGAAGAUCCUUGAACAACAAAUAUCAAGCUCGUGAAGAAAAUAGAUGGCAACCAAGAAUCUUAUAUCCAGCAAAAUUAAGCUUUAGAUUUGAUGAUGAAAUAAAAACCUUCCAUUAUAAACAAAAGUUAAAAGAAUAUACAACUCGAAAGCCUGCACUACACAACAUCCUUGGCAAAAUAUUUUAUGAAGAAGAAUUGACAAACAACAAAGAAAAUCAGCAAAGGGAGAUAUUACACUACAGUGAAAACUAAUCAAAGGAGAAACCAAGUCAAUUUAAAUACCAAAAUUAAACAAAAUGACUGGGAGUACAAAUUAUGUCUCAAUGAUAACCCUCAAUUUUAAUGGCCUAAACUCACCAAUCAAAAGACAUAGACUGGCAGAUUGGAUUUUAAAAAAAGACCUGACAAUAUGCUGCCUCCAAGAGACUCCUCUCAUAGGAAAAGACAUACACAGACUGAAUGUGAAAGUUUGGGAAGAACAUACCACUCACAUGACUUUGUAAGCAAGCAAGGGUUUCCAUCCUUAUAUCAAAUAAAGUAGACUUCAAGACAAAGUUAAUCAAAGGGGAUAAAUAGGUUACUUCAUACUGCUUAAAGGAACCAUUCAUCAACAAGAUAUAACAAUAAUAAAUUUAUAUGCUCUAAACAAUGGAGUAUCUAUGUUCAUCAAACAAACUCUUUUCAAGUUCAACAGUCAGACAAACCACAAAAAGAUAAUUGUAACUUUAACACGCAUCUUUCUCCACUGGAUAGAUCUUCCAAAAAAAAAAAAAAAGCUGAAAAAAGAAAGUAUAGAACACAAUAAUACAAUCAAUAACUUUUACUUAACUGACAUAUAUAGAAUAUUUAAUCCUUCAGUGAGCGAAUACACUUUCUUCUCAGCAGCACAUGGAUCCUUCUCUAAAAUAUAUCAUAUAUUAUGCCACAAAGCAUCUCUUAGUGAAUAUAAAAAAAGUAGAGAUACUAUACUGCAUUAUAUCAGAUCACAAUGGAAUGAAAUUAGAGAUCAAUGAUAAAAUAAAAAAUAAAAGAUACUCCAACACCUGCAGUAAAUCAUAUGCUAGUGAAUGAACAAUGGGUUGCAAAAGACAUCAAGGAGGAAAUUAAAAGAUUCUUAGAAAUGAAUGAGAACACUGAUACAACAUAUCAAAAUCUCUAGGACACUAUGAAGGCAGUACUAAGAGGAAAGUUCAUUGCAUGGAGUUCAUUUCUUAAAAGAAGAAAAAGUCAACAAAUAAAUGACUUAACAUUACAUCUCAAAGCCCUAGAAAAAGAACAAAUCAAUACCAAAAACUGUGGAAGACAGGAAAACAUUAAAAUCAGAGCUGAAAUCAAUGAAAUUGAAACAAAAGAAAUAAUUGAAAAAAUUGACAAAACAAAAUGUUGGUUCUUUUAAAAAAAUAAAUAAAAUUGACAAACACUUAACUAUACUAAUGAAGAGAAGAAGAGAGAAAACCUCUCAGAAGGUGAUGUACAAUAAAUCAACAAAUAUAUUUUAAAAAAUGUUCAACAUCUCUAGCAAUUAGAGAAAUGAAAAUCAAAACUACUCUUAAGAUUUCAUCUCAAUCCAGUCAGGAUGGCAGGUAUUAAGAAUACAAACAACAAUAAGUGUUGGUGAGGAUGUGGGGAAAAAGGGCACACAUUUACAUUCCUGGUGGGACUGCAAAAUGGCAUAGCCAAUAUGGAAAGCAACAUGAAUAUUUCUUGGAAAACUUAAAAUGGAACCACCAUUUGACCCAGCUAUCCCACUCCUCAGUUUAUAUUCAAAGGACUUAAAAAGAGCAUACUACAGGGACCCAGCUACAUCAAUGUUUAUUGCAGCACAAUUCACAAUUGCUAAACUAUGGAACCAAUCUAAAUGCCUAUCAUUAAAAAAAUGGAUAAAGAAAAUGUUGUGUAUAUACACAAUGGAAUAUUACUCAGCAAUAAAAGAGAAUAAAAUCAUAAUAUUUGCAUGUCAAUGGAUAGAUUUGGAGGAUAUAAUGCUAAGUGAAGUUAGCCAAUUCCAAGAAACCAAAUGCUGAAUGUUUUCUCUGAUAUAAGUAGGCUGAUUCAUAGUGGGUUUGGGAGGGGGAGCAUGGGAAGAUUAGAUGAACUCUAGAUGGGGCAAAAGGGAGUAAUACAUUCUGCUGUCAUAUAUAACAAAUUAGAAUAAAAAAUAAAAGUAAAAAAUAUAUAUGUUAAAGAAAAUAUAUCCUUUAUAACAAAUGAUGCUAGGAAAAUUUGAUAUAUACAUGUAUUAAAUGAAAUUAUAUACAUAAAUAUCACUCUACAUAAGUCAAAUUAAAAUGGAUCAAAGACUUAGGAAUUAGAACAGAAAUCUUGUAAUUCCUAAAAGAAAACACAGAGUCAGCACUCCAUCAAACAGGUUCAGGUAGUGGCAUCCUCAACAAGACUGCUAAAGCUCUAGAAAUAAAACUAAGAAUCAAUAAGUAGAAUUCCAUCACAUUAAAAAGCUUCUGCAUAGCAAAGUAAAUGAUUAAGAAAGUGAACAGAGAGUCUAUGGAAUGAGAAAAAAAAUCUUUGCCUGUUACGUAUUGGCAGGGGAUUCAUAUCUAGUAUCCAUUUAUGGGCUGUGUGGACUAUGUUGUGCAUCCUAGCCUAUUGAGGGGAUAAGUCUGGAAUUAGGAACUUCCUGUGGAACUCCUCACAGGGAUUGAUCACCUGAUGCAGCUGAACUUCCCUCUCAAGCUCUGCCAAAGAUCCAGCAUAGCACCUGAGAUCCCUGUGACCUGAGAAGAUGCCAAUCAACCUGCUGACUAGCAGAUCUCAUGAUGCAAGACUCCACCCUUGAAACCUUAUCCCUGCCUUUGAUGUACCUCCUUAAAUAAACCACCAGGGCCUUCUUUUCUUUGUCUAGUUCCAGUACCCAUGUGGACUAGAUCUAACAGGGGCUUCACUAUUGUAAAUAUAUUUUUGGCUAUUUGUGUUUUGUUUUUCAGUGAUUAUUUGAGAACUUUAAGUUUUAGGGUAGCUUACAUCCUCCUGGACAGGAAGAAGAACCACCAAUGAAAUGCUAGUCAUUACCCCCAUUAAUCUAGGGUAUAUUAAAAAUUCAAAAAUUAAUGUCAAAACCCCCCUAAAUAACCCAAUCAUUAAAUGAGCAAAAUAAUUAAACAGAAAUUUCUCAGAAAGAAGAAACAUAAAUGGCCAGUAAACCUAUGAGGGAAAAAAGGUGUUCAACAUUUUUAGCAAUCAGGGAAAUGAAAAUCAUAGCUACGCUAAGAUUUCAUCUCACUCCAAACAGAAUCGCAAUUAUCAAGAAUAAAAUAAUAAUAAGUGUUGGCAAGAAUGUGGGGGAAAAUGUAGACUUAUACAUUGUUGGUAGGAUUGCAAAUUAGUGCAACCACUUUGGAAAGCAGUGUGCAGAUUCCUCAAAACACUAGGAAUGGAGAUACCAUAUGACCCAGCUUUCCCCACACCUUUGUGUCUAUCCAAAAGAACAAAAUUGGCAUACUGUAGCAAUAUAGCCACUACCAUGUUUAUAGCAACAUAAAUUAUGUUUACAGCAACAUAAUUUAUAGCAACAUAAUUCCCAGUAGCCAGAUUAUAGAAUCAACCCAUUGGUUCCACAGUGUAGCUAUUGUGAAUUGUGCUGCUAUGAAACUUGAUGUGACUGUGUCCUUAAGGCAUGCUGUUUUUAAAUCCUUUGGGUAUAAACCAAGGAGAGGGAUAGCUGGGUCAAAUGGUGGUUCCAUUCCCAAUUUUCCAAGAAAUCUCCUUACUGUAUUCCAUAUUGGCUGCACAAACUUGCAGUCCCACCAGCAGUGUAUGAGUGCAACUUUUCCCCCCACAUCCUCGACAACACUUAUUGUUUGUGUGCAUAAUAGCUGCCAUUCUGACUGGAGUGAGAUGAAAUCUUAGAGUGGUUUUGAUUUGCAUUUCUCUAAUUGCUAGUGAUGAUGAACAUUUUUUCAGGUAUUUGUUGAUUGAUUGUACAUCAUGUUCUGAGAAGUGACUCUUCAGGUCCUUGGCCCAUUUAAAAAUGUGGCAUAUAUACACAAUGGAAUAUUACUCAGCAAAAAAAAGAGAAUAAAAUCAUGGCAUUUGCAGGUAAAUGGAUAGAAUUAGAUAAAAUAAUGCUAAGUGAAGUUAGCCAAUCCUCCAAAACACAAAUGCCAAAUGUUUUCUUUGAUAUAAGGAGGCUGAUUCAUAGUGGGAUAGGGAGCAGGAGCAUGGGAGGAAUAGAUGAACUCUAGAUAAGGCAUAGAGGUUGGAGAGGAAGGAAAGGGGCAUGGGGUUAUUAAUGAUGGUGAAAUGUGAUGAUAAUUAUUAUCCAAAGUAUAGGUACAAAGACAUGAAUUAUUGUGAAAAUACUAUGCAUACAGCCAGAGAUAUGAAAAAUUGUGCUCUAUAUGUGUAAUAAGAUUUGUCAUGCAUUCCGCUGUCAUUCACACACACACACACACACACACAUACAUAUAUAUAUAUAUAUAUAUAUAUAUAUAUAUAUGAAUGGGUCAAGAAAAUGUGGUAUAUAUACACAAUAGAGUUUUACUCAGUCAUAAAGCAGAAUUAAAUAAUGGCAUUUGCUGGUAAAGGAAUAGAAAUAUAUAUAAAAAAUCAUACUUGUGUGAAAUAAGCCAAUGAUCCAAUGUUUUCUCUAGACAUUUUGCUAAAGCAAAAUAUGGGAAAGGCAGCAAUGGGGCACUGGAUAGGAUAAUAGGGAAGAUCAGUGGAGUAGGGGAACUGGAGGGAAGAAAGAAGAGAAAGGGAAAGAAAUAUAGAAUGAAUCUAAUAGAUCAUGUAUAUAUACAUAUGUAAAUGUACCAAAGAGAAUUUCACUUUUAUGCAUAUGUAGAAACUACCAAUAAAAAAUAAAUAAAGGAAUAAAAGGAAGAUCAGUAGAGGAAAGGAGAGAGAAAAGGGGAGGGGCAGAGGGCAGGAAAAGGGAGGGGAAAGGAGAUUGAAAUCAAAUUACUUGUAUGAAUAAUUUUGUCAAAAGGAACCAAACUACUAUAUAUAAUUUUAACACUCUAAUAAAACAAGAUUUGACCCCCCCAAAAAAAUAAAAAUAAAAGAGGAUACUGUACAUCUCUGUGUUUGAAUUUUGCUGAGAGUCUAUUUUUUGUGGGGGAAAGAAGAAGCUGAAUGUUCAAAUACCUUGAAAAUCUUAAAAUUAUAAAAUCAUCCUAAAGAUAAUUUAAAAUAACUAUAAGUACUUUUAAGUAAUUAUGGAUAGUUUUAAAGAUAAUUUGGUGGAGUUUGGAAAAUAAUGCUUAAUUGGCAAAGAAUAAUUAGUGCUGUGAUAAGAUGAUACUACAUUUUUAUUUUGUGUAUCAUCAAUGAAUACUCACAAAAGUCUUGUGUUAGAGAUUAUUUUCCACAUUAUUUUCAGAUAUGAGACUGAAAACUAAUGGUUGCCUGAAUGAAUUCUAAAAAUCCUUACCACUAAUAUAUUUUGGAAUCAAAGUUCAACAUAAUCUUAAAUUCUGAAUUUCAAUUAUUUACCAUGAUAGGAUAAUAUUAGUAGAUGACAUUCUUCAAAUACAUAGUACCUGUCAGGCACUGGUAUAGUUUUACAUAUUAACUCAUUUAAUUCUUAUGCUUAUAUUCCUACUUUAUGUAUAAGUAAAAUUGAGCCACAACACAUAGUCAUUGUACAGUAUUAUUGCAAGUACUAUUUCAAUAAACAUAUAUGCUUAUUAUUCUUUUCAAGUUUAGGGAGUCAUGUGUUUGCACAUUUAUUUUACGUCUUUUGUCACCUUAUUGAUGGGUUCUAGGUGAUAAAAACAAUUAACAUUUAUUGAAUACAUACUGUUUGCCAAGAAAUAUGUUAAAUGCUUAAUUAAGCUCAUCUCAUUUUAUCUCCAUAGGAAUCCCACCAGAUAUUUUGAAUAACCACAUAACACUGGUAAAAAACUGAUUAAAGAAUUUAACAAAUGCAUACUAGGGUAUCCAGCUAUUAAGUGAAAAACUCUCAGUUUUAGACACAAACUCUCUUACUCCAUAGAUGUAACAUAGAGACUCUUUUAAUGAGAAAGAAGUGUGAAAAGACUUGGGGGAUUCCAAUUUAGUUUGCUGGAAAGAAAUUUUCAAAUUCACAAAGCAGAGAUAAGAAUACACCCUCAAUUUUAAGUAAAUCAACAAUAACAAUAAACAAAUUAAAAAUCUAGCCUUAUAACUCUAAUAUAUUAUGAUUAAUUUUAAGUAAUAAAAACCCAUAGUACUUAGUUUAUUAAAUGCUACAUUAAAACUUUGCAUUAUUUAUCAGACAUGACAAUUUCUAGAGUUUUCUGUCAAUAAAUUUUAGGAUACCUAAGAUUUGACAAAAUAUGUAAAUUUUAUGUAAUAUAUGAACAAUUUUGGCCUAGGUUAUCAGAAACACUUUCUUGAAAAACUAGAUUGCUUCUUAUCCAUUUAGGAAAAAUGUAAAUAAUGCUUAAAUUUUUUUUUGAACUCAGUUCUUUCAAGAGUGUCAAGCUUAUCAUCUUGGAAACACAGCUCUUAUUAUAAUUGCAGGCAAUGCUUUUGGAAAAAAAUGUAGACUGCUUCAGUGAAACUUAGCAUAUUCCAAAUUCUCAAUAAAUAACUAAUGAAUAUCUAAAUGCUGCAAUAGAAAGUAAUUACCGGAUAGACUGUUUGCUGUUAGAUUUUGCCUUAGCUCAAUAAUAUCCAAGCCUUCUCAGUGUCUUUCAAUGUUUAGAUAAUUUCUGACAAAGCAGAUCUAAAACACAGGGAAAGCUGCAUGCCAGACAAUGAUAGGUAAUCUAUCAACCCAUCCCAUGAUUAAACUAUGUAAAUUUGUUUUAUAAUGUGAUAUAAAAUGGCAAUAACUAAUUGAUUUAUUUAAAAAAUAUUUAUGAGCAAUUAUUUACAAGAUACUAUUACUAUAUUGGAAUGGGUGUUUGAAAUGAUAAAUAAAACAAAUAUGGUCUUCCCUCACUGAUUUUAUAUUCUGGUUUCUUACAUUCACUUUAUAUAUAUAUAUAUAUAUAUAAUUUCUUAUACCUUUAUUUUAUUUAUUUAUUUUUAUGUGAUACUGAGGAUUGAACCCAGAGCCUCACACAUGCUUGGCAAGUGCUCAACCACUGAGCAACAACCCCAGCCCUGCAUAUUCUGGUUUCUUAUUUUUUUUAACCCCUAUUUAAUGCCCCUGUAAUCUAAUCAGUUCACCCAAGUUUGCAUGGGCUAACCUCGUGAUAAUCAUGGCUGGUGGUACAUGACUGGAUGAGGUGGGUCUCUGAGGCAUGCCCUUGGGGAUUUUAUUUUUCCCUCUGGAUCCUUUAUUUCUCUUUCUCUCCUUUCCAAAUGUCAUGAGCUGAAUAGUUUUCUCCACCAUACCCUCCUUCCAGUAUGUUCUGCCUCACCUUGGGGCCAUACCAAUGAAGUUAGUUGGUCACAGAUUGAACCUCCGAAACUAGGAACCCCAAAUAAACUUCUCUUCCUCUCAAAUGCUCUUAUUUGGUAUUUUGGUCACAACAAUGAAAGGCUAACAUACAUUCUAUAAUCUCUUCUAUGCAUUUUCCUUUAGGUCUUCUAGACCCUAUUUUAAGAAGCUUUAAGGAAAUUCAAGUGGGUAUAAUACUAUGGCACAAAAUCCUGAUUAUCUCCCAAUGUUCAUCUUUCCUUGCUUUCUAUAAAAGUAUCCCUGAUUUUCAGCAAGGUAUAGAGCAUCUGGAGUAAGACAGUGAUCCUAAGUGUCAGUGCCAUAAGAUUAAGUUCUGGUAAAAGCUUGUAUGUGGAAGUAGAGUAGGUAAUAUAUAGGAAGUGUCAUUGCAUAUGGGAAGAUUGUCCAUCUUUGGUCCUGUUUGUUUUUAAUUUCUGGCAAGAAUGGAGAAUUAAUUGCCUGAAAUGUCAGCCGUCAUUCUGUGUCAUCAGGGGACUCUCUACUCUCCCAGUUCUCCCAAACUCUAGCAGGCUGAUAAGAGGGUACAACAUGCUGUGUCAUCUCAGACUUGCAUAGAUUGUUUCUUCAGUGUGAAAGAGAAAUUACUGCUAAAUAAACAGAAAGUGUAUUGAUGGAUUUCAUGGAAUACAGUGUGUUAGGAAAAAAAAUAACUGCUAAUCACUACAGGGUUACUUUUUAGGUGAUAAAAUAUUAUAUUAAAAAUUGGUACUUGGGCUGGGGAUGUGGCUCAAGUGGUAAAGCGCUUGCCUGGCAUGCGCAGGGUGCUGGGUUCAAUCCUCAGCACCACAUAAAAAUAAAUAUGUUGUGUCCACCGAAAACUGAAAAAUAAAUAUUAAAAAAUUCUCUCUCUCUCUCUCUCUCUCUCUCUCUCUCUCUUCCUUCUUCUCUCUUCUCUCUCUUUCUUUAAAUAAAAUUGGUGCUUAUACAACUAUGAAAACACAAAUAAAAAGAACCGGAUAUUUUAAAAGGCAUCAAAAUGCUUAACUUAUGGUGUGUUAAUCACAUCUAAAUCAAACAAUAAAACUAGUAUUAUUAAAAGCAGCUUAUGUCACUCUAUGGUUAAUUUUGUCUCAUAUAAUUUAGGAACAUGUUUGUGAAGCCUAUUUUCAAGGGGACUCAAAUUUGUCUGAAUUUCUAACUUCUUACUAUGCAUUAACACAUCAGUAAAUUUUAGGAGAAGUAAAAAUAACAACAGAAAAUGACAACAUCUGUCUUCUACAGUCUAAAAUCUACUCAGAAUUAAGUAACACCAAGUCAAACCACUAACCUCCUAGGGAUUUGUGUGUGUCUUUAUUGUAUAAUUGAAAGUUACUUGAAAUCUACUACAUAACAAACAGUGUAAUUAGAAAUUUUUGAAAUAUGUUGAUGAUAAUGUGGGGACGUACUGGGGAAUAAAAUCUGAAAAAAAUAUGAUAUAUCCAUGCAUGGAUAUACCACAAUGAAUAUAUUUACAUACAUAAUGUACUAAUUAAAAGUUAAUUGACACUUAUAGGAGCUUACACCGAGCACGGAGCGGCCGAGUUCCGGCUCCCGGAACUUCCCUGGACCGGGGCUAGGAGCCCGCGGAAACUGUGUCUCGGUCCGGGUCCUGCUGAGGGCAGGUCAGGACUCACCCAUUGCUUGGGUUGCCUGGCAAGGGGAACGAAAUGCUGCCAUUCGCAUAGGAUACCAACAUGGCAGAGAUCUGAUGUCAGCAGAAAGCGGUGGAGGAGAGAUCUUCAUCAAUACCAGCGGUGACAUAAGCAGUUGGUCUCCUGGUAAGGGGGGUGAGGCUCAGUCACCCGAGUCUCCUCAAUUUGUCCUCGAGCCAGAGGGAAGGAGCCGGGCCACCGCCAGCCCCCGGAGCAGGCCCAGCGGCUCGCCAGCGUGGUGACCGCGUGACCCCAAUUGGAGAGGGGGCGGAGCGGAGCCGCCACCCACACCCGCCAGGUGGGCAGACCCACGACCCAGUAGUACAUGGGCGUGGUAGGAGGGGCAGGGCAGAGCCGCCCUUCGCGCUUGCAAGGUAAACAGACCUGUGACAGCCUGGCGGGUCAGGCCCAGUGGCCUGCCAGUGUGGUACACANAAUAACAAUGAAAACCAACAGUGGGAGGUAGGACAGUAAAGGGGGGGGGGAAACAAUCAAAGAGGAAAACAAACAAUGUUUAGUAACAGAAAUAAACAAAUAUGGCUGGAAGAACAACCCAUAUCUCAAUAAUAACCCUAAAUGUUAAUGGCUUAAACUCACCAAUUAAGAGACACAGGCUAGUAGAAUGGAUCACAAAACAAGACCCAACAAUAUGCUGCCUACAGGAGACGCAUUUGAUAGGAAAAGACAUACAUAGGCUGAAGGUGAAAGGUUGGGAAAAAUCAUAUCACUCAUAUGGACUUCGGAAACAAGCAGGCGUGUCCAUACUCAUAUCAAAUAAAAUAGAUUUCAAGCCAAAGUUAAUCAAAAGAGAUAAAGAGGGACACUACAUACUGCUUAAGGGAACCAUACACCAACAAGACAUAACAAUCAUAAAUAUUUAUGCCCCAAACAAUGGUGCAGCUAUGUUCGUCAAACAAACUCUUCUCAAGUUCAAGAGUCUAAUAGACCACCACACCAUAAUCAUGGGAGACUUCAACACACCUCUCUCGCCACUGGACAGAUCUUCCAAACAAAAGUUGAAUAAGGAAACUAUAGAACUCAAUAACACUAUUAAUAACCUAGACCUAAUUGACAUAUAUAGAGUAUACCACCCAACAUCAAGCAGUUACACUUUUUUCUCAGCAGCACAUGGAUCCUUCUCAAAAAUAGAUCAUAUAUUAUGUCACAGGGCAACUCUUAGACAAUAUAAAGGAGUAGAGAUAUUACCAUGCAUCUUAUCUGAUCAUAAUGGAAUGAAACUGAAAAUCAACGAUAAAAGAAGGAAGGAAAAAGCAUACAUCAAUUGGAGAAUGAACAAUAGGUUACUGAAUGAUCAAUGGGUUAUAGAAGACAUCAAGAAGGAAAUUAAAAAAUUCUUAGAGAUAAAUGAAAACACAGACACAACAUAUCGGAAUCUAUGGGACACAUUGAAAGCAGUUCUAAGAGGAAAAUUCAUUGCUUGGAGUUCAUUCCUUAAAAAAAGAAAAAACCAACAAAUAAAUGAUCUCAUACUUCAUCUCAAAAUCCUUGAAAAAGAAGAGCAAAACAACAGCAAAAGAAGUAGAAGGCAAGAAAUAAUUAAAAUCAGAGCUGAAAUUAAUGAAAUCGAAACAAAAGAAACAAUUGAAAAAAUUGACAAAACUAAAAGUUGGUUCUUUGAAAAAAUAAACAAAAUCGACAGACCCUUAGCGAUGCUAGUGAAGAGAAGAAGAGAGAGAACUCAAAUUACUAGCAUACGGGAUGAAAAAGGCAAUAUCACAACAGACACUUCAGAAAUACAGAAGAUAAUCAAAAACUAUUUUGAAUCCUUAUACUCCAAUAAAUUAGAAGAUAGUGAAGGCAUAGAUAAAUUUCUUAAGUCAUAUGAUCUGCCCAGAUUGAGUCAGGAGGAUAUAGAAAACCUAAACAGACCAAUAUCAAUUGAGGAGAUAGAAGAAACCAUCAAAAGACUACCAACUAAGAAAAGCCCAGGUCCCGAUGGGUAUACAGCAGAAUUUUACAAAACCUUUAAAGAAGAACUAAUACCAAUACUUUUCAAGCUACUUCAGGAAAUAGAAAAGGAGGGAGAACUUCCAAAUUCAUUCUAUGAGGCCAACAUCACCCUGAUACCUAAACCAGACAAAGACACUUCAAAGAAAGAAAACUACAGACCAAUAUCUCUAAUGAACCUAGAUGCAAAAAUCCUCAAUAAAAUUCUGGCGAAUCGGAUACAAAAACAUAUAAAAAAAAUUGUACACCAUGAUCAAGUAGGAUUCAUCCCUGGGAUGCAAGGCUGGUUCAAUAUACGGAAAUCAAUAAAUGUUAUUCACCACAUCAAUAGACUUAAAAAUAAGAACCAUAUGAUCAUCUCGAUAGAUGCGGAAAAAGCAUUUGACAAAGUACAGCAUCCCUUUAUGUUCAAAACUCUAGAAAAACUAGGGAUAACAGGAACAUACCUCAAUAUUGUAAAAGCAAUCUAUGCUAAGCCUCAGGCUAGCAUUAUUCUGAAUGGAGAAAAACUGAAGGCAUUCCCUCUAAAAUCUGGAACAAGACAGGGAUGCCCUCUCUCUCCACUUCUCUUCAACAUAGUUCUCGAAACACUGGCCAGAGCAAUUAGACAGACGAAAGAAAUUAAAGGCAUAAAAAUAGGAAAAGAAGAAAUUAAAUUAUCACUAUUUGCAGAUGAUAUGAUUCUAUAUCUAGCAGACCCAAAAGGCUCUACAAAGAAACUAUUAGAGCUAAUAAAUGAAUUCAGCAAAGUGGCAGGAUUUAAAAUCAACACGCAUAAAUCAAAGGCAUUCCUGUAUAUCAGCGACAAAUCCUCUGAAAUGGAAAUGAGGACAACCACUCCAUUCAAAAUAUCUUCAAAAAAAAUAAAAUACUUGGGAAUCAACCUAACAAAAGAGGUGAAAGACUUAUACAAUGAAAACUACAGAACCCUAAAGAGAGAAAUAGAAGAAGAUCUUAGAAGAUGGAAAAAUAUACCCUGUUCAUGGAUAGGCAGAACUAACAUCAUCAAAAUGGCGAUAUUACCAAAAGUUCUCUAUAGGUUUAAUGCAAUGCCAAUCAAAAUCCCAAUGGCAUUUCUUGUAGAAAUAGAGAAAGCAAUCAUGAAAUUCAUAUGGAAAAAUAAAAGACCCAGAAUAGCAAAAACAAUGCUAAGCAAGAAGUGUGAAUCAGGCGGUAUAGCGAUACCAGACUUCAAACUAUACUACAGAGCAAUAGUAACAAAAACAGCAUGGUACUGGUACCAAAACAGGCGUGUGGACCAAUGGUACAGAAUAGAGGACACAGAAACCAAUCCACAAAACUACAACUAUCUUAUAUUUGAUAAAGGGGCUAAAAGCAUGCAAUGGAGGAAGGAUAGCAUCUUCAACAAAUGGUGCUGGGAAAACUGGAAAUCCAUAUGCAACAAAAUGAAACUGAAUCCCUUUCUCUCGCCAUGCACAAAAGUGAAUUCAAAAUGGAUCAAGGAACUUGAUAUCAAAUCAGAGACGCGCCGUCUGAUAGAAGAAAAAGUUGGCUACGAUCUACAGUCGGUGGGGUCGGGCUCCAAAUUCCUCAAUAGGACACCCAUAGCACAAAAGUUAAUAACUAGAAUCAACAAAUGGGACUUACUCAAACUAAGAAGUUUUUUCUCAGCAAAAGAAACAAUAAGAGAGGUAAAUAGGGAGCCUACAUCCUGGGAACAAAUCUUUACUCCUCACACUUCAGAUAGAGCCCUAAUAUCCAGAGUAUACAAAGAACUCAAAAAAUUAGACAAUAAGAGAACAAACAACCCAAUCAACAAAUGGGCCAAGGACCUGAACAGACACUUCACAGAGGAGGACAUACAGUCAAUCAACAAGUACAUGAAAAAAUGCUCAACAUCUCUAGCUGUCAGAGAAAUGCAAAUCAAAACCACCCUAAGAUACCAUCUCACUCCAGUAAGAUUGGCAGCCAUUAGGAAGUCAAACAACAACAAGUGCUGGCGAGGAUGUGGGGAAAAGGGUACUCUUGUACAUUGCUGGUGGGACUGCAAACUGGUGCAGCCAAUUUGGAAAGCAGUAUGGAGAUUUCUUGGAAAGCUGGGAAUGGAGCCACCAUUUGACCCAGCUAUUCCCCUUCUUGGUCUAUUCCCUAAAGACCUAAAAAGAGCAUGCUACAGGGACACUGCUACAUCGAUGUUCAUAGCAGCACAGUUCACAAUAGCAAGACUGUGGAACCAACCUAGAUGCCCUUCAAUAGACGAAUGGAUAAAAAAAAUGUGGCAUUUAUACACAAUGGAGUAUUACUCUGCAUUAAAAAAUGACAAAAUCAUAGAAUUUACAGGGAAAUGGAUGGCAUUAGAGCAGAUUAUGCUAAGUGAAGCUAGCCAAUCCCUAAAAAACAAAUGCCAAAUGUCUUCUUUGAUAUAAGGAAAGUAACUAAGAACAGAGUAGGGACGAAGAACAGGAGAAGAAGAUUAACAUUUAACAGGGAUGAGAGGUGGGAGGGAAAGGGAGAGAGAAGGUAAAUUGCACGGUAAUGGAAGGAGACCCUCAGGGUUAUACAGUGGAGGGGGUAGAGAGAGAGGAGGGGAGGGGAGGGGAGAGGUGGGGAGGGGGGAGGGUGGAUGAUGGGAAAGGCAGCGGAGCACAACAGACACUAGUAUGGCAAUUUGUAAAUCAAUGGAUGUGUAACUGAUGUGAAUCUGCAAUCUGUGUAUGGGGUGAAGGUGGGAGUUCAUAACCCACUAGAAUCAAAGUAUGGAAUAUGAUAUGUCAAGAAAUUUGUAAUGUUUUGAACAACCCACAAUAAAAAAUUAAAAAAAAAAAAAAAAAAAAAAAAAAAAAAAGUUAAUGAUAACAAUCAGUAUAGUAGAAGAAGCGGAUUAGGGAGAGAGAAGGAAGAAGGGGCAAGAGAAGGUAGGGAAGGCAGGGAAUAAGACUGAUCAAAUUAUGAUAUGUGUGUGUCCAUUAAGACAUAGAGUCCUACCAUGUGUAUAAUUAUAGUGCACCAAAAAAAAAAACAACACAAAAAAAACUGUUCACAGUAAGUAUCAUGUGCAUAAAAUUGAGUUCUGGUAAAAGUUCUGGUAAAUUUUGUAUUUUAACCUGUUGUUAAUGGUGCCUUUUCUAUUCUUGUAACUUAAUAUAUACCUGUAUUUAAAUUGUGCUUGUAAAUUAUAAAGUAUCAAAACCUCUUAAUAAAGUUGUAUCCCAUUAAAAAGUUAUAAAAUAGUGAUUACAAAACUUUUUUAUGGAAAACCCACAAGAAAUAGCUUUUAGGAAUAGGGUUUAUGUCUCUCAAUCCAAAAUUUGUAUAUCUUUAUCCUCAACAGAUUGACUCACGAACAUCACUGUUCUGAAAAAAAUGCAUCUCCAAAUUAUUGGAACACGAUUUUAUAAAAAUGCUUAAUGUUGUAUUGAAAUAGAUGGCAACAAAAUCCUAAAACUACAAAUGGGUGUAUUACCCUCCAAUGUCUUCUUCAUGAGUGACACUGUCAAAAUUUUUCAAAGUUGAUAUUCUGCUACGGUAAUUGAUAAAAUUUUACUUAAAUAAUGAUGCUCAUCAAAAAAGUUACUAUUAUACAAAUGCCUGUAUACUAAAGGAGAAACAAAUAAUAAAUUCUAAUUCUGAAAAUAAUACAAUGAUCCUUUAGUUACUGGAAAUAGUCACAUUGAAAAACCUGUAAGAAUGUGUGAAAGUUCACAGAAUUGGUUUAACCUUAAUGUAAAUUAAUCAGUAACCAUGGUAACAUCCAUUUUCAUCUCACUUCAAGAAUUUCACCAGCAGAGAUAAACUUAGAGACUGUCUUAUAAUUGCCUUUGUGACAAUUAGAUCCUUACCCCUCCCUGUCUAAAAGGAGAUAGUAGGUUUUAGAUGUUACUGGUUUCCUUCAAGCUUACUUUCUAUGGUUGGCUACUUCAAUAAAGUCCAGGAAUGUACACAUUCUUCUUUUGUUUGUGUUACUAUACUUUUUUUGCCAGUCAUCAACUCAGAGGCAAAAGUCAGACAUAUAGUGAUGUCUCUCAAAUGCAUAUACAAGUCAACUGUGAUUUUGGAUAAAAUUAGAUUCUCACUGGUAGCUUUGGACUUGUUUAGAAAUGCAGCCUCUCAGAAACAGGGAUCUGAAUCUUCACUUUAACAAUCCAGGCAAGCUAUUUAAAGCUUUCCAAACCACAAUUUCUUUAUCACUAAACAGGUAGUCCUAAGAUAAUGAAUGUGAAGUGUCCCCUAACUUCUUUCUCACCUUAAUUUCUCAUCUGCUCAAAUUUGCUCCAUCUCAAUUAUAUGAUGUUUCAUAAAAUCUCCUCUGGCUUCUAUUCUUUACACGAGACAGUUGCAAGUUGCUACAAUCUUCCAUAUUUCUUUCUUUCUUUUUUGCUAUGGUUGCACCACAAUUACUUAUCCAUUAUUUUCCUAAUAUCCACCUAAGUGAAAUCUUUCUGACUUCCACACAUUCUGGACCUUCUUCUCUCUCACACAUUUUUAAGUGAAUGAAAUUAAUUUGUGUGAAUAAUUUCAAUGUUCCUAUUCUUCACUUUAAAAAUACACGUGCAUCUUCAUGCAUUCCUCUUCUGUUAUAUUAUUUCUAAGACACAGUUUCUUCCCUCCUUGCAUUCUUGUUUUGAAACCCUCUUGCUCACCCUGAAUUACCAUGUGUACUUUAUGAUUUUUCUAAUGACAACCAAUUUCUCAUUCUCUAGUUGAUCUUUCCUUUCAGCCUGUAAUUUCAAGUCUUACCUCUCCGGGAGAACUUUGUCCUUGACUAUCCUAACUCUUCAGGCUCUCUUCCAUUUUCCUCUUGGGUGAAUACUGUACAUUUACUUCUUAUACCUAAUGAUAUUUUUCUCACCCUAAAAACUCUAAUGAUACUCUUUACUGAAUAUCUCCAAUGAUGCUGGGACAUCAAUCCCAAGUUCCCUUUAAAGUCAUCAUCACCCUGGAGCAUUUGCAGCAUGCAGUGAACUUUAAACACUUCUUCCUUCGUAAAAGUCACUUCUUCCAGAGAUUCCAUCACUGCCUUCUUGUCUAUUCUUACAUUUUUGUUUGUUUUCAUACUUUGAUGAUAUGUUCUUAUUGCCUUUGCCUUGUUUUUCUUCCUUUUCAGGCAUGUUUAAAUGCAGACAAUUUUUCUGCACAUCUGUGCUCAGUGAUAGACACAAUGGACAGGGACACAGCUGUGCCUGGGAAUUUUUAAUGAAUACAUGAGUCAAUACGUGAACAUAUUUUACAACCUUCUCCUCCUUUUUUACAUGUUCCUAUUGAAACUUACCUUUAAUAAUUUGGUUUCAAUUAUCAGUUUUAUAGGAAAUAUUUUCAAAACAACAUUUCUAGAUCUGACUGUACUUCUUGGUUCAAGUUCUACUUUCUAAACUUCUGACUAGAUAGUUCUGCCUGCACAUUCCCCAAUUGUCCUGAACGAAAAAUACUCAAAACAAAAUGUAUCCCUUGAUGUCAAAACCAAUUUUGUUUUCUGGAUUCUUACUUUCUGUCCCUGACUCUUUGAACAGUAUAUUAAAAAUAAUUUAGUUAGUCUCAGGGACGACAUUAUUUUUCAUACUUCUUUGAGGUAAAAAGCAUUUUAUUUGUUCAACUACUUAAAUAUCAUUUUUAAAUUAGUGUUAUGGCUUAGAUAUGUGGUAUAUCACAAAAAAAAUCAGGCGGUAUUAUAGGAUUAUUCAGUGGUUAAAUGAUUAGAUUAUUAGAUCUCUGAUCUCAUCAGUGGAUUAAUCCAUUUGAUGAAUUAAUAAUUUGAAUGGAUUACUGAGUGGUCAUUGUAGACAGUUGAGGUGUGACUACAGGAAGCAUGCCACUGAGGCUGUGCCCCUGGGGAUUAUAUUUUGUCAUGGCUCCUUGCUCACUCUCUCUGCUUCCUGACGACCACAAGCUAAAUAGCUUUCCUUCACACCAAACAUUUCUACCAUGAUGCUCUGCCUCAUCUUGGGCUCAGAAGAGUGGAGUUGGCUAACCAUGGAUGGAACCUCUGAAAUCAUGAGCCCAAAAUAAAUUUUUUUCCUCCUCUAAGUUGUUUUUGCCAGAUACUUAGAUCACAGUGACAAAAAGUUGACUAACACAAAUAGUAAAAUCUGUGAACAUUUGCAUGUUUUUCUAUCACUUUCAGAGGCUGCGCAUUGAUAAGUAGAAGGCAUUUCUUGGAUACCAUGUUGAUUUUUAGCCAUUUGUACACACCUAAGCUAUUCUGAUGUAUGCCUAUCAAAAAUAAAGGAAAAGAAAAAUGGAUAGUCUUUAAUCUCAUUUCUGUAAUCUCUGAUUUCAUUAGCAUUUUGAGACUGAAUACAUUUUAUUAGAAUUAAGAUCCAAAUAUAAUCUUAUUCCUCUUUAUCUGUCAAUAAGUAUUUAUUGAAUACCUAAUAUGUUUCUAAGUUCCAUAUCAGAUACUGGGAUGCAUGAAGCACUAGCUCUUCCUACGAUGCUAAUAUAAGGAAGUCAAUCUAUCAUAGCAUUGUUGAAUAACCCAAGAUGAGGGAAAUAUGUGAAAAUAUGUGUAUAUAAAAGACAAAGUAUAUGACACAAGUAUCAUUGCUGAACAUAAUGAAAGAGGAGAAAUUUACAAAAAGAAAACCAAUAUUCCUUCAGGAAUUAAUCACUAUUCUAGCUGCAUUUUAUCUGGUAAUUUGUUCAGGUUUCUGUAAUACUCAUAAUCAAUAGUAAUAGAAUAGUUAUAGUUGAUAAGAGCAGUAAUGUUGAAAGCAAGCACAUGUAGAAAUUGCAUGUGUUCUAGGAUUUUUCAUAGGUUUUCCCAUUUAAUCCUCCUAAGAACUCUAAGUGGCAGGUACUUCUACUUUAUCUAUUUUAUAAAUAAAUUAACUUAGGAACAGAGCAGUUAAAUAACUUGCCCAAGGGCAUGAAUCUCGUUAAAAGAGGAGCCUGAUAAUGAUACAGUUUUAUAUGCUUUUAGAAUUUUUAUGAGGUAAUUUAGUUGAAGCACCCACUGCAGUGACUGAUUCUGCAUCUGCCCAAUCAACAUCAGUUUACUUCAUUCCAACUAAGUACUAGUUACCUAAUCUUCUCAAACUUCAGAGUACACCAGAAUGGCCAGAGGGCUUGGACAUACCCAGAUAUAUGAGUAAUUUUCCUAGCUCUUCUGAUUUAAUAGGUUGGAAGUAGUACCCCCAAAUCUGUAUUUCUAACAAGUCUCCUAGUGAGGUAAAUACUGCUGACCAAAGGACUUUGUGAACUCCUGACCUGGUGUUUGCUAAAGAGAAUUACCUGUCUCCAGAAGCUGACUCCCAGUGUUAAUUCUCAAAGACUGUUUUGAGAAUAAGUAAAGAUUUACACAAACAGAGUAAAAGAAGGACAAAUACAGAUACUAGUGAAAUUAUAUAGUUACCUUGUGUGUAUGUGCAUGUGUGAACAUAUAACAACAAAUUCCAUCAUUAUGUAUGACUAUAACACAUGGAUAAAAAAUGUAGAAAGGAGAGAAAUAGACAAAAAAAUAAAAAUAAAAGGAAAAAAAGGAGAAAAAUCAUCAAGGAAAUUUUUAAUAAAAAGUCCCAGAACCAAAGAAAGCAAAUUUCCAAAUUAAAAGGGCUCACUAGGUAAAUCAGAACAAUGGACAAAAUAGACUCAAAGCACAGUCUUGUGAUAUUUCAGAAUAUAGAGAACCAGAUCUGAGUUAAAAAAUAAAAUUACACAAACACAAUAAAAGAAGGAGGACAAAUACAAAUUGGAUAGUAACAUAAAAACAUGUCAAUAUAUAUUAUUUUCAUGUUGAAUAGUCAAGCCUGCUUAAAAAGAAGCAUUUCUACUCCAGGUUUUUUAAAGAUCAGGACACCAAAGACAUUAAGGUUAAGUAUUCUGGCAGAAGUUAUAUUAAAAUCCUAGAGAAAUGAAACUAGAAUUUAGAAAUGUGAAAUUUUCAGCAUGCAACCCAGUUCAUUUAUCUACUUUGUAUUCUUGCAGAAUUAAAAUAAUCUGCCAAGGUUAAAAAGUGUGUCAAACUUCACCCCCAAAGGGAAUCAGCAGAAGACCGAAGAUACCUUCCUCUGAGAUCUCUCUUUUCAACAAGAAACACUUCAUCUUUGGCAGUAUAUACAGAUGUAUUAAAUAUGUUUUAUAAAGGUCAGCUUGCUCUGAAACUUGAAAUAAGAACUUGACAUGAUGGGUCUACAAAUCCCACUAAAUCUUAUACAGCUCUAAAAUAUUUAAAUGCAGAACAUUCUUUGGAGACUAUGAACAACAGAUUUUAUUCACAACAUGGGCCUUCUAUCCUUGCAAUUUCUGUGGCUGAAAAUCUCAGCAACUGCUGAAAUAUUCAGAAAGAUGUGCUUUAUCAAAAAUAAUUGUGAUUUUGGUAUAAACUGAAUAAAAAAUAUUGAAGGAAUAAAAAAUAACAACAAAAAACCUACUGCAUUUGUUCUCUAACUUGGGUUAAGGAUACUCCUACAGCAACCUCAGGUAAAUACCUAUAAAAUAUCUAUUAGUUAUCAACCAAGUAUUAUGCAAAAAGAUGAAUUAUGGGACUUUACAUUAUGUUCAUAAUUCUGAUUCUAUGAAACUAUAGUAAGUGUUAUCCACUAGACUUUUAGUACUCAGUAUUUUUCAUUGCUUGACCACAGAUAAACAAAUUCAUUGCUAUUAGUAGAACAAAAUUUGUGGAUACCAUUUAUAGUAGGGUGUCCUGUUAAAACAUACAAGGCAAUAAUUGCAAUAUGCUUAUAUUAAUGAAGCAUUUAUUGUUUAUAUAAAAUUAAACUUUAGAAAGGCAUUUUGGCAUUUUUUCCUAAAC
This 52563-nucleotide long non-coding RNA is filed under the name Marmota monax (woodchuck). Lineage: Eukaryota; Metazoa; Chordata; Mammalia; Rodentia; Sciuridae. The record is from RNAcentral.